AUGGUACAUGAUUUUGCCCGAUUUGUAAGUCAAAAUGAAUGUUUUUCGAUGGCAAUUAAUGGUAGUGAAGAACCAAACGCCACAAACUCUCUUGAUGAGAAGGUCCGUCAUUUAAUGUUAAUCUUUAGUAAAGGGGCUUCAUUACCUGUUUCCACUCGUAGAGUUAAAAGAAUGCGUACCCUCGUAAUUAACGAUAGUAGAUCAUUAAAUGGCGAGAUCCUAGAAGAAUUAUUUAGGGAAUUGACAAGUUUAAGGGCAUUAGAUUAUGGCGGAUCGCCCCACUCAAGGCCGUUGUUGACUGCGGAGGUUCCAAGAAACAUAGAAAAGCUGGUACAUUUGAGAUACCUUAAUUUGUCUUUUCAGAAAAUAGUGAAACUACCGGAGACAUUGUGCGAGUUGUAUAAUCUAGAAAAGUUAGAUAUUAGUUGUUGUUUGUAUCUUAGAGAAUUACCUGAAGGGAUUGGGAAGUUAAUAAACAUGAAGCAUUUACGAAAUAGAGGUACUAGUUCUUUAAGGUACAUGCCAGUAGGGACUGGGAGAUUAACGGGUCUUAGGACCUUGGGUCAGUUCCAGGUGAGUGCAGGAGGAGGUGUUGAUGGUAGGAAAGCAUGUAGGCUUGAAUCUCUUAAAAAAUUGGAACACCUUCAAGUAUGUGGUAUACGUAGACUGGGUGAUGUAUCAGAUGUGGGCGAGGCUAAGCGAUUAGAACUUGACAAAAAGAAAUACCUCUUCAGUUUGACCCUUGAGUUUGAUAAGAAGGAAAGAGGAGGAGAAACGAGGAAGAACGAGGACGAUCAACUUCUUCUUGAAGCCCUGCGACCACCUCUGGAUUUAAAGGAAUUAGUGAUACGGUACUACCGAGGCAACACUGUUUUCCCCAGCUGGAUGACGUCAUUAAUCAACUUAAAGAGUUUAGAUCUCUCUUCCUGCGAAAAUUGCGAGCAGCUGCCUCCUUUGGGAAAAUUGCCGUCCCUUGAAAAACUCGGCCUAUCGGACAUGAAGAGUGUGAAAAGAGUGGGUGAUGAAUUUUUGGGGAUAGAAAGUGAUCAUCAUGGCUCAUCUUCAUCUUCAUCGGUUAUUAUUGCCUUCCCCAAAUUGAAAUCACUCUCAAUUGAGUUUCUGCGCGAAUUGGAGGAGUGGGAUUAUGGGAUUACAAGAACGGGAAACACCGUCAUCAACAUCAUGCCACGUCUUUCUUCAUUGACAAUUGUUGAUUGCACCAAAUUAAAGGCACUGCCCAACCACAUUCAUCAAACGACAACGUUGAAGGAAUUGUGCAUUGUGGAUUGUGAGCUUCUGGAAGAACGUUACCGCAAGGGGGAAGGAGAAGACUGGCCUAAGAUAUCACACAUUCCCAACAUAGAUAUUUUUUAAGAAGGAUUUGCGCAUUCGAGAUUUGGCGUUGACAAGUAAUUUCUUCUCUUACUCUGAUUUGCUUUGUUGUUGUUUUUAAUCUAAUUAAGAAGCGUAAAUAGCAUUUUGAAUCAAACUCUAUAUCCGAAAUCUGCAAUACAUACUUUCUAAUAUUCUGAUUUUCAUAUCCUACCAUUUUUAAUUUGUGAGAUGGGUAACGUUACUGUAAAAGAUUAUUAAUGGAACAUGAGUAAUUCUUUUGCAGGACAAGUGACCUACAUUUAGUUUGGCUUUGGAGUUGAAUAAUAACCUUUCAAGGCCAGGACCCAAAAGCAGGAAAAACAAAAAAAGGAACGAAGCUUAAUUUUGCCACAGAUUACAUGUAUUGCCAUUAUUGACAAGUUUCUGGACAAGUGAUCAAGGGUGAGAGUGGUGCUACAACAUUGAAUAAAGCAGUCGUGACUGAAUUUAGGUUGUGUCAAAAGUGGUAAAUUAUUUGCAUGUGUAGCUAAUUUGACCAUUUCCUGAUCUAUAAGUCUAUAUUAAUUUUGAUUUUUAGUUGAGUGAUUACAUUUCAAGGUUUGCUUACUUAACAGGGCGACCAAUUUCUUUUAACUAAAUGUAUUAUAUGAUGCAGGAAGCAAGGCAGGAUAUGAAAUAAGAAGCUUAUUAAUGGCAGUUGGCAGUGAAUGGAGGCCCUUGACUAAAUUCUCAAGCGGUUGCACUGCAAUUACGCUUAUCCGUAGCCUCAGGUAAUUUCUUCUUCUGCAUUUUUGUAAUUUGUUAUCUAAUUAAGGGGCGUGAGCUAUUUUGAAUCAAAUUCUAUAUCAGGAAUAUAUGCAACAUUUUUUAAAAUUUUGAUAUGAGAGUAAUGAUGGUAAUUUCUCUUUUUUGUCUGUCAUCGAAUGUUAAAUAACAUUCACUAAGACUCUUGAGAGUCAUUUUUUGACAAUUGCAGGACAAGCGACGAAGAGUGAGAAUGGUGUUAGAUUGGGGAUUGAGGCAAAAGGAGGUAAAUUAUUGGCAGAGAAUUUGGGAGCUUGAGUGUACAGGGAUUUGCAAUUACAAUCUUACUCUGCCUUAGGUGAUUUCUUCUCCUGCUUUGUCAUUGGUUGUUCUCUAGUUGAAAAGCAUAAAGUAUUUCAAUCAAAUUCUAUACCAAGAAUAUGCAAAACUUUAUUUCCAUCUGUUUGCAUUGAUAACUUUGCGGCAUAUGCGCUAGUUAAAGAACAAACAGAAACAGAGGUCAGGAACAAGUUUCCUCUGCCGUCAUAUUUGAAAAUGCAACCAUUUCCGGGAAGUAGUUGGCAGCAAAUUCAUAUAAAGUGUAGACAAUAAUGAGCAAAAAGGUGAUUCACAAUUUUAUUUUUUUUAAAUUAAUUGUUAGGUUGGAGUUGUUAAAAGGCCAUUGAGCUAACCUAUGUCAUUAGUUACCUAGAUUGCAGGGGGUCCCGAGACUCCAAAGAAGCAUUGAAUUUUAAAAGGCAUGCAAUAAUUCUUGUGGGCGUAUGAGUUUGAUUUAGAAUCAAACUCUAGAUCAGAAAUCUGCAAUGCAUAUUUUCUAAUAUUCUGAUUUUCAUAUCCUACUAUUUUUAAUUUGUGAGAUGGGUAACGUUACUGUAAAAGAUUAUUAAUGUAAUAUGAGUAAUUCUUUUGCAGGACAAGUGACCUACAUUUAGUUUGGCUUUGGAGUUGAAUAAUAACCUUUCGAGGUCAGGACAACAAAAAAAUGAAUCUUAAUUUGCCACAGAUUGCACUUAUUGCCAUUAUUGACAAAUUUCUUCACAAGGGAUCAAGGGCGAGGAUGUUGAUAGAAUAUUGAAUAAAGCUGCCGUGACUGAACUUACGUUGAUGUCAAAAGAGGUAAAUUAUUGGCAUGCCUGACUAUUUUGACCAUUACAUGAACAUGAGUUUACAUUAAUUUUGAUUUUGAGUUGAGUGACUUUUUAAGGUUUGCUUACUUAACCGGGUGAUGUGAUGCAGGAAGCAGGGCAGGAUAUGAAAUGAGAAGCGUAUUAGUGGAAGUAUUGCCAGUAACAGAACCCAAAAAAAAGUGGAACCAUUUUAAGGCAGCAGUUGGCAGUUGGGAGUGAAUGGAGGCCCUUGACAAAAUUCUCAAGCAGUUGCAAUGCAAUUACGAUCAUCCUCAGCCUCAGGUAAUUUCUUCUCCUGCUUUGUUGUUAUUUGUUACCUAAUUAAGAAGCAUAAAGUAUCUUGAAUCAUUUUCUGUAUCUGGAAUAUAUGCAACAGUCUCUAAAAUUUUGAUGACUGUAAUGAUUGUAGUUUCUGCUUUCUGUCCGACAUCGAAUGUAAGACGACUUUAUUAAGACUCUUGAACCGAGACAUUUUUGACAAUUGAAGGGCAAGUGCUGAAGAGUGGGAAUGGUGCUAGAUUGGGGAAUAAAGCAAAAGGAGGUAAAUUAUUGGUAGUUUCUGCAGCCUUGUUUUCUUUGAAUCAGCACCUGAUUCACAAGACUCCAUUAAUUUGGCUUUUGAUGAGCUGAGUGAUAAAUUUUCAAUUUCUUUGGUGCUAAAUGUAUGUGUGAAGCAGGUAGCAGGGCAUGACUGUGGAAAAGAGAAGAUUUUAGUGAAAGCUGAAACUCAGAUAAUUCUACAUUUAUCUAAUUCACGAAAUUUUAUUUCCAUCUGUUACAAGAUCAAACUGAAGCAGAACUCAAAGAAAGUAAUCUACUUCUUGCGGCAAUCUUGCCUUCGCUCAGAUUAUGAAACCAUUUCCAUGCACCAAAUUCAUCCAAAAGUUUGAAUAAGUUUCAUGGUUGGACACUGUUGGCUUCUUUUUCUUUUGGGGUGCAUUUUGGUGCUACCAAGUGACAGCUGCAAGUAUGAUUGCACUAACCUGCUGCUGGGAAAUUUGAGGUUUUGAUGGCUGCCCAUGUUAUUGUCAAGAAACUCCUCAUGUAAGAAGCUGUGGUUCUUUUCAUCAGCUUGAACCUGAAACUGUUGCUAUGGAUAACUCACGUUUUUAUUCUCAACUAUAUCAUCUUUUUUAGUGUUUUGAAACUCUUAAGAUUAAACUUUGGUAAAAUGUUUUCAGUUAUCCAUGUAAUCAGGCUGAGGAUAAUUUAGUAAAGUUGUUUCCGCUAUUCAAAUGAAAAACCCCAUUGAUUUUAACCAUGAUAAAGCUAAUGUUCCCAAUGAUUACUGCAGGUGAGACUUGUGAAGAGGGUGAGUGAGGCAACUGCUAAAAUUCCUGGCUGGGAUACAGUAACUAGAGGCUGAGAUCAGGUGGUGGAAUUUUUUGUUCCGUGGAUGAUACCAGAAUUGUCCAGAAAAGAUUUGUUGAUACUAAUUACAGAUGAUAGAAAGAGGUAUAGGUGGAGAAGAGAAAUCUGCGAGUCAAAUUAGGGAUAAUUGAUUCUGAUACUAGUUAUAUUGAAAAUAAUAAUAACAAUUGCAUGAAGAUAGUCAAUAUUCUUCUCUAGAUAUAUUGUAUGGACUUCCUUGCUGCCUUUAUCUAUGUGCAUGUUGACUAAAGCUAAUCUAGAAUCAAUAGAGAGGGAUAUUUAUCUAUUUUGUUUAACAUAAGAGUGCUGUAUAAUUUUUCACUAAAUACACCUACAACAAACUAUUAAUAAUAAAGUGAUAGAAGAAUGCCUAAAAUAUAGGUAUUAAUGUCAUAAUAAGCCCAUGUGGAUCUCAGUGCCGCAAGUUCGAUAAAUGGCUAUCAAGGAUUGCUUAUUAAGUCAAAAUAUUCAAAGGACAAAAUGGUAAAACUAUAAGGGUGGAGUAAUAUGGCUAUCUUGGGUUACAUAGUAAGUCAACUACAUUCAAAGUAUAAAAUAUUAGAACCUGAACGGCGGAGUAGUCGUCGUUAGAACCUGAACGGCGGAGUAAUCGUCGUUAGAAUCUGAAUGAUAUGUCUAAGACGUUGCAUGCAUCUAGAAAAUUGCAGAUGAUUAGACCUUGCCAUCUAUGCGUUGUAUGAGGUUAUAGCAACUAUCUAUCUGGUCACCGUUUUCAAGUCUCAAUUGGUAGUCCAAACUCCAAAGAAAAGAAUGAUUCUACAAUAGCAUUAAGUGUUAAUUGGACACAAAAAGAAAUGUUUUAACCACUUUAAGGAAAGUAAAUGUAAUUUUGUGUCCUAAAGAAAAGGUAAAUGUAUGCACUGUCAAUUAAUCUUUGGUCGACCAGCAACAUCAUAAUUUUGUGUAGGUUCAUUUUUGUUUCUUAGAGUUUGUAAAAAGAAUGGGAAGAUUUUAAAAUAUAAAUUUCAUAUCUGUUUAUUACUGUUGUUUGGUCUAAUUUCUUAUGUAGAAUUUUCAGAAUCUGUAGGACAUUAGUUUAUAAUUUUGAGAUUUUGCAGCCAUAAAUGUUUUUUUUUUCUUUUUUCUUUCUUUUUUUUUUUGUUGGCAUUUUAUUUUGCUCCUUUAUCUAUGUGCAUGUUGACUGGCUGCAGUGAGUGAAAAUUUACCCAUAUAUGCUGGCUAUUCUUGGACAAUAUUAGAGAAAAUAAUCAUAUUAUUUCGCUUGAUGUGAACUUCCAUAACUUAUCAAUUGAAUUGCUGUAAAAUAUUAAAUAGUUUUAUUUUUCUUUUAUCGUGUAACUUGGACCAAAAAAGGAAAUGAGUUUAACACGACCCUCAUUCUGCUUCUUGCUUUGGUUUCAAACAAGUCUUUCUCCUUUAUGACAUUUAUUGUAAUUUCAUUUGGAGACAUAUAUCUGUCGUUCAAAUAUAUUUCAUACGUAAGCUGUUAAUAAUUCUGCUUGCAGAAAGCCUACAAAGCAGCUGUGUGAUGUAAUAGAAGACCAUAGUCUCGUCAAUUUUUCAACAUUAGAUAUUCAGGUCAUCAGCUUCUCAUGAAUUCUUUCCUGAGUUUCUUUGAAUUAUUUGUGAUGUAAUAACUUGUGCAUUUGAGAAACUGUUCUCAUGAAUUCUUUCCUGAGUUUCUUUGAAUUAUUUGUGAAUAAGUUCCUAAUCGGCUGCUUCUCCUCAGGAUAAGGAAAGUGUUGCAAACUGGUGAAGCAGCUGAUAGAUAAAAGCAAUGGGUACAUCUUUGCUGGCAUGGAUCGAUGCCAGUGCGGUUGAAUUCAGCAAGACUGCCGUUCGUGAUGUUGUUGAUUGGGAUUACAUUAAGGAUGAUGACAACAUUGAUUAAAAUGGGACGUGAAGAUAUAUGGUGUGCAAAUUAACCCAACCCAACCAAACCCGUACAUUUUAUCAACCCAACCCAACCCAACCCGUAAAAAAUCACACGGAUUAGGUUGGUUUCACGGAUUGGGCGGGUUAAUUCUAAUUUCUUUAUAAGUUUACCAAAAUUAGAUCUGCUUACCUUUGUUCAUUCAGCAACAACACUUACAAUUCACAGCUAGAGAAUCUAUCCAUUGACAAUUGUGGAUUAAAAUUAUAACACCUGAAUUCAAACAUAUCCUUAUGAAGUUAUGAAUUUGUUCAUACUUCAAAUGAUUUUUUUUUUCCAAGCUAAUAAAGCAACGACUUUGAUCAAACGACGACGUUGAAGGAAUUACGUAUUUUCAAUGUCCUUUGCCAGACAGACGCUGGAGAGAGGGAAAGGAGAAGACUGGCCUAAUUAAGAUAUCUCACAAAGAUUAUUAUUGAGUUAAAAUGUUAUUGUAAAAGAUGUUUAAUACAAUAAUAGUACUUCUUUUGCAUUGUUAUAAUGAGGCUGGCGGGUUUCCUCAGAGGAUGGAUCUGGCUCGCUAGUAUGCAUUUGGGAAGCUGCUAAUUAUCGGCCAUAAAAAGUCAGGGGGUUGUGGCUCGUCCGUCGCCCAGAAAUUCCUAAACUCAUAUAUCAAACUUCAGAUGAACUUGGGCAUUAUGUAAAUAUGUAUUUUUGAGAAUUAAACUAGUGCGUUAGAAAAAUUUUGAGCCAUUGUAAUCAUUUUAUUUUGCUAAGAGAAAAUUUUACUCUGUGUUUCGCUUUGCCUUUUGUUUUUUCUGUGAUAAUAUGAUUCAUACGAAUGUGAUUACACACUAUCAUGCAUCUAUUUUCAUUUGCUUGUCAUGAAUGAUCAACAUGCUCGAAAUAUUUAUUUAGGUUGGAAAUAUUUAAAUCUAUUAAAAUACUAUACACACCCAUUUAAAAAUAAAAAUAUGAUUAUCAUAAUGAUCGCGAAGAUAACACGAUAUCAUACAUAAAAUAAAAUAUUUCGCAAAAAAGAAAAGAUACACUUGAAUACAUUGGUAUAAAAAAUAUUUUAGUGGAUUCAAGUAGCACUAAUGCCCCCUUAUCAAAAAAUAUAUAAAGAUAACUAAUCUGAUUGGGUAUACCGUGUGUGUGUGUAAUAUUUUUUGAUAUUAUUAUAUAAUAUUUUUUAAAAAGAAGAGAGUGGGCAAAGUCCAAAUCAAUUUUCUAAUCCCUAUCUCCUUUAGGAUUUCUAGUCAAAGAGGCUAAAUUGCACGAAAUUGUGCUAGCUUAUUUGAUUUUAAAAUUUUCCAAUGCACUGUAACACACUCUCAUGCUUGUACAUAGCUCGAAAAUCUCUAGAAUUUACCAGAGUAGUGUACCAUGUAGCUUGUACAUAGGUUUUUCUGGAACACUCCAAGCGUUACUAAGCAUAAGAGCUUUGAGAACUCUCUAGACAUAAAACAUUCAAGGGUAGGCCUACCCUAAAAAUAGGGCAUGAUGAUUGCCAUUUGAGCAUACAAGAAGUAAGAACAAAUCAAGUAUAUUUGUAAGCUCCCAAACUCUCUCGUACACACUCUUGUGAAUAAUAUGCUUUCUCUUUGACUACAUUACUCUCUCUUCUCUCUAGUUUUUUUCGUAAGUAUCAUAGCUUAGCUAGUCGAAAAGUUCAAGUAGGAAUGAUAAUUUUUCCUGACAGGAUGUGGGAUCCCAUCUCAUUUGGGACGGGAUUGGGACACAUUUUUAUCCCACAAAAAAAUAUAGGGACGGGAGUAGAAAUUUUUUUAUCCCACUUGUAUAUAUGGGACAGGACUGAGAUUAACAAAUUCAGUCUCGUCCCGUCCCGUCUCAUUACCAACUAGGGAUGGAAAUUUUUCCAAUUGGGAUGGGCUCUCGCAGAAUCCCAUUUAUUUUGGGAUGCAAUUGAGACAUAUUUUUAUCCCAAAAAAAUAUAUCGAGAGUGAGACUUUUUUUUAUCCCACUUGCAUAUUCGGGACGAGACUGAGAUUAGUAAAUCUCACCCUAUCCCAUCCCAUUGCCAACCCUAAGUUCAAGGCUUACUUUGCAAUUAUCUCAUAAAAGUUGUUUUAAGUACCACAGGAGUUUGUUGUGCAAAAUACUCAUCCCGUGACAUUAGCUAAAUAAAAUUAUUUGAAAGCCACUUACCCAAACUAUUAAACAAAUAUUAUUCUUUUAAUAUGUAAUCUUUUAAUAUAAAACUUUUGUCUUAAUUUUCUAUCUCCUACAAUAAAUUUUAUGAUUUUAAAAAUUGAAAAAAUUAGUAACUUUUAGAUAGAGCAUUCCUUACUGUGAAAAGAAAUAUGAAUGGUAAUAUAAAACUUACUUAUUAUAGUAUAAUGCUUUUAGUUUUUUGAAAUAUAGGUUCUUAUUUUUUUCAAGAUAAAGUUCAAAGAAAACAAGUUAAAUGUUGUGGAAAAUCUUACGCACAUACAAUAAAUUAUGACAGCUAAAUGCAAACCUGGCUGAAGUAUUAGUUGUUUUAUUACAGAGACAAAAGGACAAUAUCACUAUCCAAGUCAAAAGCAACUCAAUGUGAGUCUUAGGGCACUCGCAGUGAAUCCCAAGAUAAACUAAUUUCACUAGCAAGUUGGAUACCAAAGAGUAAGGCUUCAGCCUCAAUUAUAUUAACAUUAGCUGAGUAAACAUUAAAUACCACAAUCAAUCUCAGAAAUCAUAAUUAAACUAUCAUGAUUAAAAAUAAAGUUUUUUUUUUAGAUAUCCGUUUGUAGUAUCUCUUUAGAUGACAAGUAGGAGAUAAAGUAAAUAAAUAUUGGUUGCGUAAAUAAAAAUAAAUAAAUUUUUUAACUGAAAAAAAAAUUCCUAAAAACUAAAUAGUUCAAACUUUUUUUAACAUGAAAUAAAUAUUUGAUGCGUAAAUAAAAAAAAUUUAACUGAAAAAAAUUCCCAAGAACUAAAUAGAUCAAACUUUUUGUUUAACAUCAUGGGUUUUGUAUAUUCAAUUGAACCGAACAACUAAAUUAAAUCGAAAUUACCAUGUUCGGUUCAAAUGAAUAGACGAAAACCGAACAGUUUAUAUUUUUAUGAACUGAUGGUGCGUUUACUUCAUGAAAUGAAAAUAUGGUGGAAUGAGAAUGUGUUAAAAUGAAAAUGAGGAAUGAGAAUGAGAUUCUAAUGUUUAUUUAGUAAAAAUAAAGGGAAAUGAGAAUGUGCUGGAAUGUCAUUGAUGUGUUUAUUUGACAAAAUAAAUGACAAAAGUAUCAAUUCGGAUCCUGCUAAUGAUAGUUUGCCAUAUCCUUUGUCAUUGAACUUUCUUACAAAUGCUGUGGUUUGUUGUAGUAUAAUUAGUUCAAUCAGAAACUUCCUUGAUGUUAAUAUAGAUAUGAGUGUGCUGUGAAUAUUGAGGACUUCAUUAGACUAAGUGAUGUGAUGAUGGAGCAUUCACUUGGUCCCAAUGGAGGUUAGUCAGCCCAUUGUUGUUUACUCUUUCUUGCUUUAUCACGCAAUGAUAUUCCUUUGCUUCACAACAAAUUUCAUGAAAUUAACUUCAAUCGAGUGGCUAUGUUCAUACGCUAUUGAGAUUUUAUGGACAAUGAUUUGGUAGACUUUAUAUGCCGUCUUCUUUCUUUUUGCAGUGAUAUGUUUGUAUGCAAUGCACUUGUACUUGUUCUAUGGUUUCUAAAGUAGGCGUUUUUAUGAUAAACUAGGUCUUGGGUAUUGUAUGGACUAUCUAGAGAAGAAUAUUGACUGGUUGCAGUCGAAAUUGGAACCACUUUUGAAAGGUAAGAAGUGGCCAUUUUCCUUCAUUCUAAUGCCAAUAAUGCUGUCAUGAGACUCAUAAAAAUUGUUAAAACGUUAAUGUUUUUGGUAUUUUGCAGAUCAUUAUCUUCUGUUUGAUUUUCCUGGCCAAGUUGAAUUAUUUUUUCUUCAUUCCAAUGCCAAGAAUGUUAUAAUGAGACUCAUAAAGAAGUUAAAUCUCAGGGUAUUGUUACAUCUUACGUCUAUGAAGGGACUCAAAGAGUUGAGAUGAAUUCAUCAUUAUUAUUUUGAUGCCAGAAUUGUGCAAUUCUCAGUUGCUUCCUUUCACAUGCAGUUGACUGCAGUGCAUCUAGUUGAUGCGCAUCUUUGCAGUGACCCCGGGAAGUAUGUUAGUGCUUUGCUUCUCUCGUUGUCGACGAUGCUACAUCUGGAAUUUCCCCCAUGUCAAUGUCUUGUCUAAGAUCGGCCUGAUUGAGAAUUAUGGAAAGCUAGGUGUGGUUUUAAGUGUAGCUCUCCUACUUGUUUGUUUAGAUUGAGAUAUCAGAUAUUGUCACAAGCUCCUAUCUGCUACAUUUCCUCACCAAUCAAUUACUUUGGGUAUGUUGCAGCUUUUAAUCUCGAGUACUAUACGGAUGUGCAAGAUUUGUCAUUUUUACAGCAUGCUCUGGGUCAGGACCCUCGUUCUGCUAAGUAUAGGUUUGAAUUCUAGCUGAAUCAAUGAUGCAAAUUAUGUCCAUUGCUAUUUCUGACUGUCGUUUCUAUCAUUUUCAAUUGUUACCUCCCCUUGCCAUCUACUGCCAUACUGCAAUGCCCACACAAAUGUUAUGAAAUUUGUCAAUGGAAAUGACAUUCUAUUUGUCCAGAGACAGCUCUUAGAUGCAAGUGAACAAUUUUUGGCUUUGGCCGUAGUACAGCCUUAGAUUUCAACUUGCCAUAUCUUGUCUCGGAAGUCAAAAGAAAGCAUAUAUGUUAGCCAAAUUUUAUUUGAAUUUCUUGUGUAACAAUGAAUGGGGAAAAAAAACAGUUCCUCUUUUGUUUUGAUCAGACUCAAUGAAUAAGUGGUUAAAAUGUGCCUGUACUAGAAAUAUAGAUGUGUGGUUUCAUAAAAUUUUCUUGAUCUUAAGAAAGAGUUAUCUUGAAAAGAAGAUAACAUGGGGAAUUGAACAACUAUACAGUCAUAUUGAUGUCUGUCAACUUGGGUCAUAUGGUGUCGUUUGGAUGGAGAUGUUAGGUCCCAGAUGGUAAACUUGUUAUCGAAUUCCAGUCUACUUCAUUCAUGCUUUGAUGACAUAUGUGGUGCAGCUUCUUAUCUAAGACCUGCAUAUGUUACAGUCAACAUUCUGUUCUGUAUUUGGCUGCCAUUCUUUUCAAUGAAUUCAAACCACUUUCUGAAUACUUGGAAAUUCAUCCAGUGUUGUCAUUGAGAUGCCAAUAUGAAAAGAAGCCAUAAUUGCCCUUGAUAGUAUGCUUAUUGAUUGCCUCUUGCCUCACUCAACCUCAGGAAUCUGCUUGUAUGGUGUUCUUCUAAUUUCAAUUGGAGAUAAAUAAUAUCUGUUGUUCAAAUAUAUUUUAUUUACAAGCUGUUAAUAAAUCUGCUUGCAGAAAGCUUACAAAGGAGCUGUGUGAUGUAAUAGAAGUCUACAGUCUGGUCAAUUUUUCAACCUUAGAUAUUCAGGUCACCAGUUUCUCUUGAAUUCUUUCUUGAGUUUCUUUGAAUUAUUUGUGAAUAAGAUCUUAGUUGACUGCUUCUCUUCAGGAUAAGGAAAGUGUGGCAAAACUUGUGAAGCUGAUAGGUAAAAGCAAUGGGUACAUCUUUGCUGGCAUGGAUGCCAGUGCAGUUGAAUUCAGCAAGAUUGCCGUUCGCGAUGUUGAUUGGGAUUAUUUCGGAUAUCCUUCUUUUCACCUAUUUUCAAUCUUGUUAUUCUCAUAUUCAUAAAACUUUUUGGUUAUUUAAUUAUGGUUCAUCAUAUGCAUCUGCAUCUUCUAACUUGUUCGUUUGAGAAACUAAUUUUGCCGUUAGGUAGGCUUCGAGCUUGAUGAGUUGAUUCAUGCUUUUUCAUAAAUGUACCAAAAUCAUGGAAACUUCUUUUUCCCAGAUAUUGUAUCCACACUUUUCCCAUAUAAUUGGGUCAGACAAGUUUUGCUUAACAAAGAUAUCUACAGUAGCCGAAGUGCAGGAGAAGUACAUUAAGGAUGAUGACGAUGUUAACUAAAAUGAGACGUGAAGAUAUGUGGUGUGCAAACCGUAAGCCUGCCUCUUAAUUUUGUGCAUGUUUACUUGCUUGUGAUUCACGUUUGUUAAUCUAUUUUGCUCUCUUGCAGGAGUUAUAAAGUUUUCAAUCAAUCAAACAUUUAACUCAAGUCCUUAGCUCUUCACGGCUUGAAUGGGUCAGAUAGGACAAGCGCCGAAGAGGUGGUUUUAAUCAAACCCCUCCUAAUUAUGAUGUAUGGUCCGAAUCUCGGACUUUUUGUACAAUAUCAAGCGAUUUUUUUUUGGUUGAAUCGGCUAGUGUACGCAAAUGUCGAUUAUUGAUUUUUCUCCAGUAUUGUUUGUAAUUACAAGAAACGAAGUAAUGAAAUUUAUCACUGCGUUCAUAGUUAUGCUUAAGCUCAAAGAUUACCGUCAAGAUCAUUUUGGGCCCUCAAAGAAACAUGAUGUUGACACAUGUAAAAUUAUGAAGCUUGUGAUUAAAAUACUUUUCACAUAUAUAUGUUAAGUUCUAUUAAUAAUUAAAUAUAUGAAUAAAUAUGGUCAAUGAGGAGAGGAUAAAAUAAAAUGGUUUCAUUUUUUGAAUUACCCAUCCGCUUCAAACUUCUAAGAAGUAGAUAUACAAUCAGUGGAAUACUGAAUUGAGUACGAGCUGCGGAUAACUUAUAAAAUUGGGAUACAAGCUUCAAGGAAAGUGUAUUGCUAUUCAAAUGUAGAUUUCAAAUUAAGAAGAUAUGCCAACAAAUUAUUCUAAAUGAUGAAAUGAGCUAUCUUGAUCAAAAGGUCAAGAACCUACCUUACUUCUCUUAGAGAUAACUUGCAUCAACCGUUGUGGUAUUGAUACUUGUCUUCAGCUAGUAAAAGUGAAAGUUUCACAAUUGAAAUAAAGCUAAGGGAAGAUGCUAUGCUCCAUUUAUUAUUAUUAUUAUUAUUGACGUGGUCGAGAAGUAAAGCCGUGCAUAUGAUGAAGUAUAAAUAAGAAUGCAAUAGCCCGGAAUUCAUUUACACAAACACUUCAAUAUCCUUUCGAUCACUUUUGCAAACAUCAAUUUGUCUCCUCUUGUAUUCACCAUGGUUGAUGCCAUCGUUUCCCCUCUCGUGGAGCAGCUGACUUCCUUCGCUGCUAAAGAGAUAAUACAACAGGUGAUCGAAGUUACACCCCCCAUAGUAUAAAUACUUCUAAUGAUUUUAAUUGGUUUUGUUUUUAUCGAAAACAUUAACUUUGCUUUAUUUUACGCAUUUAGGCAUUUUAAAUUUUGAAAUUUGAAUUGAAUUUAAUUAAAAUGUGAUUUAGUUAGUAACCACUUUUUUUUUUCAUUUAUAUUCUCAAUAACUACCCAUAUUUUGGUAACUUACUGUAACCCCCGUAUCUAAGAAAUUAUCAAAACCCACAAUUUUAACUCCACAUAAAUAUUCCAUGUUGAGCUAAGUUCGAUGUUGAGGUAAGUUUUUUGCAUAACAUUCAAAUUUGUCAAAUAGUCAUUAAUUUAAUGUUUAGUAAAAACUCAUCUCUGAAAAAUUUCAUAAUUUUCUUACAUUAUUUGAGUCUGGUAAGUGACUUCAUAUAAUUUCUUUUCAAUUUAAAUUUUAAUUUGGUUUCUGAUAUAGUCUCUUUACUGAAUUUAUAUCUUUUAUGAUUCUUGGAUUUUGGGCUCCAACUUUUUAGGAUUUGAUAGUCACAUUUUAUGGCAUGCUUAGAUUGAUGUUCAUGAUUUUUAGUACUCGUUAAGUGACUGAGAAUUUGACAAAAGUUUGAAAGGAAAUCCGUUUCACGAUUCUUAUGUGGAAGGUUCGUAAAAUCAUGAAAUUUGGAUAGGAUUCAUUAGCAAUAUGUACAAGACUGUCCAUAAAGUUUCAUAAUUUUUCAUUCGGUCGGGGGUGGUACAGGUGAAACUUGUGGUUGGUGUUGAAGAAGAAGUGAAAAGCCUUACCAGCCACCUUCAAGCCAUUCAAGCUGUGCUCAAUGAUGCAGAGGAAAAGCAAGUGAAGGACAAAGCUGUUAGACAUUGGCUGGGUAGGCUCAAGUAUGCAUCCUACGACAUUGAAGAUGUGUUGGAUGAGUGGAUCACAGCUAGACACAAAUUGCAAAUUGAGGGUGGCGUUGAUGACAAUGCUCUUGCUGCUCCUCAAAAGAAAAAGAAGGUAUGUUUCUGCUUUCCUGCCUCUUGUUUUGGAUUCAAACAAGAAGAAUUUGGUUUCAGACAAGUCUUUCUACGUUAUGACAUUGCCAACAAGAUCAAAGAAAUGAAUGAAGAGCUACAUGCUAUUGCUACUCAAAAAGACAUGUUUAAUCUUGUUAAGAGUGGCAAUAAAAGUGGUGAAAGACCAAGGCGUGUACAGAGUACCUCCUUGAUUGAUGAGGAAGAGAUUUGUGGUAGAGUUGGUGAGAAGAAUGAACUCAUAAGCAAGCUGUUGCGUGAGAGUAGCGAGCAACAAAAAGGCCUCCAUAUCAUCUCAAUUGUUGGUAUGGGAGGCAUAGGGAAAACUACUCUUGCACAACAAGCUUGUAAUGAUGACGAGGUGAAGAGAAAGUUUGACAAAAUUAUGUGGGUGUGUGUAUCAGAAACUUUUGAGGAGUUUAGGGUUGCCAAAGCAAUGGUUGAAGCUUUGGAUGGUCGUGAAUCUCAUUUAGGUGAAUUCCAAUCUCUUCUUAAACAUAUUGAUGAAUCCAUUGCAGGGAGGAGCUUUCUUCUUGUCUUGGAUGACGUAUGGGAUGGAAAUUACGUGAGAUGGGAACCAUUCUAUCGUUGUCUAAAGAAUGGUCUCCAUGGAAGUAAAAUUAUAGUUACCACACGUAGUGGGUCCGUUGCAUCCAUGAUGGGAUCCAUAGAUAUUAUUCCCAUUAAGGAAUUAGCUGAAGAGGAAUGUUGGUUGUUGUUUAACAAGAUAGCAUUUUUUGGUAGGCCUAUCGAGGAACGUGAAAAAUUCGAACGAAUUGGGCGAAGAAUUGCAGGCAAGUGCAAAGGUUUACCUCUUGCUGCAAAGAUAUUAGGGAGUCUUAUGCGCUCUAAACAAACUGAAGAAGAGUGGAAAAUAAUUUUAACUAGUGAUUUAUGGAAAGUAGAAGAGAUUGAGAAAGAUGUUUUGUCCUCUUUAUUGUUGAGUUACAAUGAUUUGCCAUCUAGAGUAAAAAGAUGUUUUUCAUAUUGUGCUGUCUUUCCAAAAGACUACAAUAUAAAAAAAGACAAACUAAUUACAUUGUGGAUGGCUCAAGGUUAUCUUAGUGCAGAAGAAGAUGAGGAGAUGGAGACUAUAGGUGAAGAGUAUUUUAGCAUCUUAGCUUCUCGCUCUUUCUUUCAAGAGUUUGAGAAAAGUUAUGAUAAUCGUAUUAUAGAGUGCAAGAUGCAUGAUAUGGUACAUGAUUUUGCCCGAUUUGUAAGUCAAAAUGAAUGUUUUUCGAUGGAAAUUAAUGGUAGUGAGGAACCAAACACCAUAAACUCUCUUGAUGAGAAGGUUCGUCAUUUAAUGUUAAUCUUUAGUAAAGGGGCUUCAUUACCUGUUUCCACUCUUAGAGUUAAAAGAAUGCGUACCCUCUUAAUUAACGAUAGUAGAUCUGAUCAUUCAUUAUUAAAUGGUGAGAUCCUAGAAGAAUUAUUUAGGGAAUUGACAAGUUUAAGGGCAUUAGAUUUUGGCGGAUCGUACACACAUUUUUCUUUGACUCUGGAGAUUCCAAGAAACAUAGAAAAGCUGGUACAUUUAAGAUACCUUAAUUUGUCUUGUCAGAAAAUAGUGGAGCUACCGGAGACAUUGUGCGAGUUAUAUAAUCUACAAAAGUUAGAUAUUAGUGAUUGUUUUAAUCUUAAAGAAUUACCUGAAGGGAUUGGGAAGUUAAUAAACAUGAAGCAUUUACGAAAUAGAAGUACUAGUUCUUUAAGGUACAUGCCAGUAGGGAUUGGGAGAUUAACGGGUCUUAGGACCUUGGGUGAGUUCCACGUGAGUGCAGGAGGAGGUGUUGAUGGUGGGAAAGCAUGUAGGCUUGAAUCUCUUAAAAACUUGGAACACCUUCAAGUAUGUGGUAUACGUAGACUGGGUGAUGUAUCAGAUGUGGGCGAGGCUAAGCGAUUAGAACUUGACAAAAAGAAAUACCUCAUCAGUUUGACCCUUGAGUUUGAAAAGAAGGAGGAAGGAGGAGGAAGGAGGAAGAACGAGGACGAUCAACUUCUUCUUGAAGCCCUACAACCACUUCUCAAUUUAAAGGAAUUAGAGAUACAGUACUACCGAGGCAACACUGUUUUCCCCAGCUGGAUGACGUCAUUAACCAACUUAAAGAGUUUAGAUCUCUCUUUGUGCCUAAAUUGCGAGCAGCUGCCUCCUUUGGGAAAAUUGCCGUCCCUUGAAAAACUCAGCAUAAUGUUUAUGCCUGUGAAAAGAGUGGGUGAUGAAUUUUUGGGGAUAGAAAGUGGUCAUCGUGACUCAUCUUCAUCUUCAUCGGUUAUUAUUGCCUUCCCCAAAUUGAAAUCACUUUCAAUUGAGUCUCUGGACGAAUUGGAGGAGUGGGAUUAUGGGAUUACAAGAACGGGAAACACCGUCAUCAACAUCAUGCCACGUCUUUCUUCAUUGGAAAUUAAUUACUGCCCCAAAUUAAAGGCACUGCCCGACCACAUUCAUCAAACGACAACAUUGAAGGAAUUGCGCAUUUGGGGGUGUGACCUUCUGGAAGAACGUUACCGCAAGGGAGAAGGAGAAGACUGGCCUAAGAUAUCACACAUUCCCAACCUCCAUAUUGGGCUUUGACAAGUAAUUUCUUCUCUUACUCUGAUUUGCUUUGUUGUUGUUUUUAAUCUAAUUAAGAAGCGUAAAUAGCAUUUUGAAUCAAACUCUAUAUCAGAAAUCUGCAAUACUUACUUUCUAAUAUUCUGAUUUUCAUAUCCUAUGAAUAUACGAUUUUUAAUUUGUGAGAUGGGUAACGUUACUGUAAAAGAUUAUUAAUGCAAUAUGAGUAAUUCUUUUGCAGGACAAGUGACCUACAUUUAGUUUGGCUUUGGAGUUGAAUAAUAACCUUUCGGGAACUGGUGUGGACUGGCAAAGGAUGAUGAGAUAGUUUUUUGAGUGAGUAAAUUUUGGGAGCUUGAGUGUAUUGGGAUUUGCAAUUACAAUCAUCCUCUGCUUCAGGUGAUUUCUUCUCUUGCUCUGUCAUUGUUUGUUCUCUAAUUCAAAAGCAUAAAAUAUUUCAAUCAAUUCUUAUACCACGAAUAUGCAAAAGUUUCUAAUAUUUUAUUUCCAUCUGUUACAAGAUCAAACUGAAGCAGAACUCAAACAAAAGUAUGCUACUUCUUGCGGAAAUCUUGCCUUUGUUCAGAUUAUGAAACCAUUUCCAUGCAGCAAAUUCAUCCAAAAGUUUGAAUAAGUUUCAUGGUCGGACACUGUUGGCUUCUUUUUCUUCUGGGGUGCAUUUAGGUGCUAUCAAGUGACAGCUGUAAGUAUGAUUGCACUAAGCUGCUGCUGGGAAAUUUGAGGUUUUGAUGGCUGCCCAUGUUAUUUUCAAGAAACUAUUGAUGUAAGAAGCUGUGGUUCUUUUCAUCAGCUUGAACCUGAAACUGUCGCUAUGGAUAACUCAGGUUUUUGUUAUCAACUAUAUCAUCUUUUUCACUAUUUUGAAACUCUUAAGAUUAAACGUUAGUAAAGUUGUUUCAGCUAUUCAAAUGAAAAACUCAUUGAUUUGAGACUUCCUUCAUUAUUGUUUCUAAUUACAAUGCUAACGAUCCAGAUAAGAUAAUAUUUAAUCGGCGAAGGUGUCCCUUGGAAGUACAUCCUUCUUUUUCUUUUAUUAUAUAAAUUCUUGCAAUGAGCUUAGUGAAGCUGUUGUGCUAAUCAUGCCACUGCAUAAUUUGGCCCCUAAUGUGGGUACUCUGUUACAUUGUUCUGCAAAUUCUCCAGAAGUUAAAAUCAAUAAAUUUUCUAUUAGCUCUAGUGCUUUGACCUAAAUGCUAUUCUAUAUUCUGAUUACAAUGUUUUAACCUUUAAAUUAACUACCCCUAGAUGUUGGAUUUUCUAGAACUUCAAAUUAUAUAUAACCUUUAAAUUAUAUAUUUCUGUGUCUCUAUUUAUAGAUGACAUUUAAGCAUCCAUAAACCGUCAGACAGAGGAAGGGGGUUCAGUGCAAAGAUUCUGUUGACCUAGGGUUGACUGCAUAUGUCACUUGUUCGCAAUCUAAUAUUUAUUUUAUAUUUUGAAAAAUUUAAUGGGUAAUCCUAAUUGUUUGUUUUGGCAGGUAUGUGUUGUUAUCUCCUUCUAUCUUACAGUCGUACCUAAAUAGCAUAGUUUCAUCUGUGUUACCAUGUGAUGUACAUAAUUUCACAUUUGCCUCAGAUUAAGCUUAAUUUCCCACAGAAUAGAGCUGUCGCGACUGGACUUAGUUUGAUGUCCAAAGAGGUAAAUUAUUGGCAUGCCUAGAUAAUUUGGCCAUUUCCUAAUUCAUAAGUCUACAUUAAUUUUGAUUUUGAGUUGACUGAUUUCUUUUCAAGGUCUGCUUCCUUAACGGAGUGACCAAUGUUUUUCAACUAAAUUUAUCAUAUGAUGCAGGAAGCAGGGCAGGAUAUGAAAUGAGAAGCUCAUUGGUGGAAGUAUUGCCAGUAGCAGAACCCAAUGAAAAUGAAACUAUUUCAAGGCAGCAGUUGGCAGUUGCAAGUGAAUGGAGGCCCUUGACAAAAUUCUCAAGCAGUUGCAAUGCAAUUACGAUCAUCCUCAGCCUCAGGUAAUUUCUUCUCCUGCUUUGUUUUUAUUUGUUAUCUAAUUAGGAAGCAUAAAGUAUCUUGAAUCAUUUUCUGUAUCUGGAAUAUAUGCAAGAGUUUCUAAAAUUUUGAUAUGAGUGUAAUGAUGGUAAUUUCUGUUUUCUGUCUGUCAUCAAAUGUUAGAAAACUUUCAUUGAGACCCUUGAACCGAGUCAUUUUUGACAAGUGAAGUGCCGAAGAGUGAAGAGUAAGAAUGGUGCUAGAUUGGGGAAUAAAGCAAAAGGAGGUAAAUUAUUGGCAGCUUCUUCAGCCUUAUUUUCUUUGGACCAGUGCCUAAUUCACAAGUCUCCAUAAUUCGGCUUUUGACCAGUUGAUAGAUAAAAUUUUAAUUUCAUUGGUGCUAAUGUACCCGUGAAGCAGGCAGAGAAGGACUGUGGAAAAGAGAAGGUUUUUAGUGAAAGCUUAAACGCAGGUAAUUCUAUAAAUUAUAUGUUUUUGCUGAUUUAUCUAAAUCAGGAAAUUUUAUUUCCAUCUGUUACAAUAAAACAGAAACAGAACACAAAGAAAAAUAGUCUACCUCUUGUGGCAAUCUUGCCUUCAUUCAGACUAUGAAACCAUUUCCUUUCACCAAUUUCUUCCAAAAGUUUGAACACGUUUCAUGGUUGGACAUAGUUAGCUUCUUUUUCUUUUGGUGCAUUUAGGUGCUAUCAAGUGACAGCCAUAAGUAUGAUUGCAUUAUUGGGAAAUUUUAGGUUUUGAUGGCUCCCCAUGUUAUUGCCAAGAAAUUUUAAGUCCUCAUGUCAGAAGCUGCGUUUCUUUUCAUCAGCCUGAACCCGAACUGAGGUUUUUGUCAUCAACUAUAUCAUCUUUUUCACUGUUUUGAAACUCUUAAGAUUAAACUUCAGUAAAGUUGUUUCAGUUAUCCAUGUAAUCAGGCUAAGGAUAUUUAGCAGCUUAUUUAGGCAACUGCCAGAAUUCAGUUUGUUUGCUCGAAACUUGUAUGGUGACAAGGAUACUGGCAAGGAUAGUGAGAUAGAUUUUUGUGUGAGUGAAUUUUGAAAGCUUGGGUGUUCUGGGAUUUGCAAUUGCAAUCAUCCUCUGCUUUAGGUGAUUUCUUCUCCUGUUCUGUCUUUAUUUUCUCUCUAAUUGAAAGCAUAAAGUAUUUCAAUCAAAUUCUGUACCAGGAAUACGAAAAACUUACUAAUAUUUUAUUUCCAUCUGUUUGCAUUGAUAACUUGGCCGCAUAUGUACUAGUUAAAGAACAAACAGAAGCAGAGUUCAGGAAAAAGUUUCUUCGGCCACCAUAUUUGAAAAUGAAACCAUUUCCAGGAAGCAGUUGGCAGCAAAUUCAUACAAAGUACAGACAAUGAUGAGCAAAAAGGUGAUUCGCAAUUUCAUUUUUUAAAAAUGAAAUUAUUUGUUAAGUUGGAGCUGAUAUUGUUAGAAGGCCAUUGAGCUAACCUAUGACACUACUUGCCUAGAUUGCAGGAGGUCAAGACUCAAAAGAUGCACUGAAUUUUAAAAGGCAUGCAAUAAUUCUUAUGGCCAUUUGUCAAUGGUGGAAUGCUUUUAGCUUCUUUUCCUUUCGUGCAUUUUGGGGUUCUAUCAAGCGACAGCCGUAUGCAUGGAUGGAUAUAGCCGCUGCGUUGAUUUCUAAUGCGUUGUAUGAUGUUAUAGCAACUAUCCAUCUGGUCAAUGUUUCAAAAGAAUAAAACACAGGGAAAAAGAGAAAGCAAGUGGCCAAUCAAGUAUUCAUGUCCCAAAGAAAAGAAUGAUUCGACAAUAGCAUUAAGGGUUAAUUGGACACAAGAGAAGUGUUUUAACCACUUCAAGGAAUGUAAAUGUAAUUUUCUAUUCUGAAGAAAAAGUAAAUAUAUGCACUGUCAAUUAAUCUUUGGUCAACCAGCAACAUUCAUAAUUUCGUGUAAGUUUCAUUUCUGUUUGUUGGAAAUAGCAGUGUAUUUCUUAGAGUUUGUAAAAAAUGGAAAGAUUUUAAAAUAUAAAUUUCACAUCUGUUUAUUACUGUUGUUUGAUCUAUUUUCUUAUGUAGAAUUUUCGGAAUCUGUAGGACAUUAAUUUAUAAUUUUGAGAUUUUGUAGCCAUAAAUGUUUUUGUUCUUUUUUUCUUUUUUUUGUUGGCAUUUUAUUUUGCUCCUUUAUCUAUAUGCAUGUUGACUAAAGCUAAUCUAGAAUCAAUAGAGAGGGAUAUUUAUCUAUUUUGUUUAACAUAAGAGUGCUGUAUAAUUUUUCACUAAAUACACCUACAACAAACUAUUAAUAAUAAAGUGAUAGAAGAAUGCCUAAUUUUUCGUACUUUUUAAUUUCUUUCAGCCCUAAAAUAUAGGUAUUAAUGUCAUAAUAAGCCCAUGUGGAUCUCAGUGCCGCAAGUUCGAUAAAUGGCUAUCAAGGAUUACUUAUUAAGUCAAAAGUAUUCAAAGGACAAAAUGGUAAAACUAUAAGGGUGGAGUAAGAUGGCUACCUUGGGUUACAUAGUAAGUCGACUACAUUCAAAGGAUAAAAUAUUAGAACCUGAACGGCGGAGUAGUCGUCGUUAGAACCUGAACGGCGGAGUAAUCGUCGUUAGAAUCUGAAUGAUAUGUCUAAGACGUUGCAUGCAUCAAGAAAAUUGCAGAUGAUUAAACCUUGCCAUCCAUGCGUUGUAUGAGGUUAUAGCAACUAUCUAUCUGGUCACCGUUUUAAAAGAAUAAGACAAAGGGAAAAAGAGAAAGAAAAGAAUGAUUCGACAAUGGCAUUAAAGUUCAACGUACCCCAAGAUCUUGUAAUAAUGCCAUUAAUCAUUCUCUAGCUAGGCUAGCCUUAGAGAAAAGUGAAACUGUUGCACAGGUAGAAUCACACCCCUCAGAGAUAAUGUAUUUAUUCAGCUCUUCGAAUGAAUGAAGUUUAUUUUCUCGUCAAAAAAAAAAACUGCUCGCUCCGCUGGUUUCAUACAAUGUCAACUAGAAACAUCAUACUUUCGUGUAAGUUCAUUUCAGAAUAUUUCUUAGAGUUUGUAUAAAAUGAAAAGAUUUUAAAAUAUAAAUUUAAUAUUUGUUUAUUACCGUUGUUUGGUCUAAUUUCCUCGGGAGAAUUUUCAGAAUUUAUAGGACAUUAGUUUAUAAUUUUGAAAUUUUGUAACCUAAAUGAUUUUUUUUUCGGUUACCAUUUUGUUUUCCUGCUUUAUCUACGUGUAUGUUGACUAAAACUAAUCUAUUUUGUUAAACCUUUACCACUCUAGACAUUGCACUAAAUAUGAGUUCGUGAUGCUUGCAUUUUAUUGAUGCUGAUGAUUCGUUGAAUGUUUUAUGUUUUUGAUUUUUAAGUAUUCCGGAUCGAAGUUUGUGUCUACGCGGAAAUUGUAAAGGCAGCAUAUAAAGUACUCGUCGUUCUUUAGAUUUUAUUGAGUACACUUUUGUCACAUUUAGCGUAUGCUAUACACUACUGAUUUGCGCAUUGACAUAUAUCUUUUUUUUUUAUGAGAGGGGGCUCGUCAAAACGAGCUAAACAGGAACAAACCGGGGGUUAGAAAUCCCAAACAAGUCUUGCGAAAUGAUAGAAUAAACACCCAUAGGAGGGUUAGAGAACACAUGGAGGCCAAGAGGAGCUGAAUGAGCCAUAUUAGCCAUGAAAUCCGCAGCUGAGUUUGCUUCGCGAUAAAUAUGGGUGAUAGCAGUCUGCCAAUUUCUACUUAGUAAUUCCCGGACAGCUGAUAAUAAAGCAGUGAACGCAUUAGGAACAACCACCUGCUUAGAAAUCAUUUGUGUAAUACAAAUACUAUCCACUUCCACCAACAACCGUUUUAUGCCUACAUCCCAAGCAAGAAUUAGGCCCUGAUACAGCCCCCAAAGCUCAGCCAUAAGCACUGACCUGUCCCCAAUUUUCAUACAAAAGCCGGAUACCCAAUGACCAACUGAGUCUCGAAUAACACCUCCCGCUCCUGCUUCCCAAGUAUUUUUACAGGAGCCAUCUGUAUUUAAUUUACACCAUGGCCAAGGCGACGGCAGCCAAUGAAUAUAAAUCUCCUGUCUCCUCGGCUGCUGGCUUAGGCAAGAAUUAUUUACUCUGCAAAUUUCUUUAGCUCUCGCCAUAACAUCCAUAUAGAUUGUUAGACUAUCCACCAGCUUUCCCUCAAAGAAAAAAUGGUUCCUCCAGAACCAUAGCCUCCAAACUACCACACCAAAGAUACAAUCCCAGGGGAGGGGAGACCCAAUCUUCCAUUUAUUUUGCAGGUUCCCAGCAAUCCAUUCUCGUAAGUUCGAAUUGAAGAAAGUGUUAUGACUGGCCAUCGGAACAAGCUUCCGCCAAACCUGCUUGAUACAGCUGCAGUCUCUCAAUGCAUGGAGGAUAUCUUCAACCGCACCCCCACACCUAUCACAAUCCUCAGGAACAUUAAUAUGGCGCCUAACAAGUUCAUCACGAGUCUUGAGUUUCCCAUGCAUAAGCUGCCAAAGAAAAAGGCGGAUGGAUUGAGGCCCCUUCCAACUCCAUGGAAGCUUCCAAUUUCUGUCAUGAACAGCAGCUUGAUGAUAGCAAAGUGAUUCAUAAGCUGACCGAACCGAAAACAUGCCGCUUGGAUCAAAGCCCCAGUAAAUAAUAUCAGCCCCAAGAUGAGGAGCCGGAGGCAAGACUGAAGCAAUCUGCAUGAGAAUACCAUGCGGCAGAAGAUGCUCAAAGCUCGACCAAUUCCAUCCCCCAUGCCCAUUCGUAAAGUCACUCACAGUGGCAUUGAUAAGCUCGUGAGGAAUCGGCAAGAUGGCAAGGCUGAUCAGAGGAUAUUUCGUAGCCCAACAAUCAACCCAGAAUCGAGUUCUAACACCAUCACGAACUGACCAGCGAGCUCCCUGCACUGUUGCCAACCACGUGCUACGAAUAGCCCUCCAAAUCUGAGAACCCGGUUUGUCUGAAAGAGACAUUGGUAGGUUGCGAGACUCCAAACCAUAUUUGGAGCAGAAGACUUGCACCCACAGUUUAUCCGAAUUGGAAACAACCUCCCAGCUCAAUUUCAUCAACAUCGCCUGAUUCAUUUCGUCCAUUUUUUUGAAUCCCAGGCCUCCAUGUUUUUUCGGCUUGCAAAUUUUGUCCCACCCCACCAUACUCAUCUUGUGACUCUUUGAAUUCCCAUCCCAAAUAAAUCUUCGACAAGCUUUGUCUAUUUUAUGUCUCACUGGAGAAGGAAGUAAGGUCGUUUGCAUGGCAUAAACAGGCAUUGCUUGCAGGACUGAUUGAGCCAGAGUGACGCGUCCAGCAAAAGAUAGAUGAGCCGCGUUCCAACCAGUUAACCGCUUAUCCACUUUAUCAAGGAUGGAUUGAUACGUGUAUUUAUUAACCCGCGAAUGGAUUAAGGGCAUUCCAAGAUAAUCACCCAAAUUAUUUGUGGCCGAAACUCCCAAAGUCGAGCCUAUGAUAUUGGCAUCCCGAGAAGCGACAUUUUUUGAGAAGAAAACUUUAGUUUUCAUUUUGUUGACUUUUGCUUCCGAACUCCUACAAUAAUUAUCCAGAACAGCAUCUACGACAUAAGCUUGAUCAAUUGAAGCUUCCGCAAAUAAAAGCAAAUCAUCUGCAAAAAAGAGAUGCGUUAAAGGAGUUCCAUAUUUGGCCAACCGGAUAAGCCUCCAUCUCCUCUCCAUCACCGCUUGGGUUAUACCAUGGCUUAACCGUUCAAUGCACAGAACAAAAAGAUAAGGCGAGAGGGGAUCGCCCUGACGGAUACCCCUUCCCGGAGUGAAAGCUUAUGUCGCCUCGCCAUUCCACAAAAUACGCAUACUAGCUGAAGUUACGCAUUCCAUGAUUAGUCUAGAUAAGUGAAUUGGAAUACCAGUCUGGUUAAGCGUAUCAAAAAUGAAAUCCCAACUGAGCCGGUCAUAAGCCUUCUCAAGGUCGACCUUAAUGGCCAUAAAUCCUUUCCUGCCAGUUUUUCUGCGCAUAGAGUGAACUACUUCCUGAGCCACUACAAUAUUAUCUACUAUAUGCCUCCCAGGAACAAAGCUCGUCUGAUUGGGGCUUAUUAGAUUGGGCAGCAGUGUUUGCAAUCGAGUGGCUAUAAUUUUAGUCACCGUCUUGUAGGCCACUGUGUAUAGGCUUAUGGGCCUAAACAUCUUUAAGCUAGUGGGGUGCUCCUCUUUAGGAAUCAAAACCAAGAGGGUAGUAUUUAUCUCUUGCGGCACCUUCCCCGUUGUAAAAAUAUCAUGAAUAAACCUGCAAAACGACGGACCAACCACAUGCCAUUGGGAUUGAUAAAAUAUAGCGUGCAAACCAUCCGUACCUGGGGCUUUCAGCGGCUUCAUGCUAAACACAACGUUCCGAAUUUCCUCCCUCAAAAUUGGGGCUGCAGCCCCAUCUACGUCAUGAGAAUCCAAGGCUGGGAAAAAGUUUGGAGCAUGGUAAUUCCGAUAAGUUGCAUUAUCACUUGUAAAUAGGUCAGAAAAAUACCCCACUACAUGCCUCCUUAUAUCCUCCUCAUCAUAUAGCCAAUUCCCCGAACAGUCUCGGAUGGCCUCAAUUCUAUUCCGCCGCCUUCGAGCAAUGGUUUUUUGGUGGAAAAAAUUCGUAUUUCUGUCCCCAUGCAGAAGCCAAUCCUUUCGAGAUUUCUGAAGCCAAAGAAUUUCCUCCGAUUCAUCACCAUUUCGAGCUCAUUUUGCAUGCGGGCUUAUAAGCGCAACAAACUGUUAGAGCUAUAAUUCUCUAGAGUAGCUUGAAUUCCAUUAAUCCGAGCCAUAAGCCGGCGUUUUCUCUGAAAGAUAUUCCCAAACACAUCUCGAUUCCAAGCUUGAACCUCCUGGACAAAAUGAGAGGCUGCUGCACUAUAAUGGAUUUGCGGAUUCCACACCCGCUUAAUAAAGUUAUGAAAAUGCUCGUGAGUUAACCAAGCAGCCAAAAAGCGGAAAGGCCUGUUCCUCCUGUGACCGGCCACAGCUCUCUCAAACCGAACCAGCACCGGCCUGUGAUCCGAGGCAACCUUCGGGAGGUGGAGGACAGAAUUAUUCGGAUACUUAUGUAGCCAAUCACUAUUGCACAGAGCUCUAUCAAGCCGUUUAAAGAGCAAUCCACGUGACCAAGUAAACCUUGGACCUUUAAACUUUAAAUCAAAAAUUUGGUGCCCAUCAAACCAUUUCCGAAACAGAUUACACACUCCUGGGUUCCUGGCCUCACCCCCCUGCUUUUCAGAGGCAUAUAAGAUAGAAUUGAAAUCCCCACCUAUCAGCCAAGGGCCUCGAAUUGAAGGCGCAAGGUUCUCCAUAUGGCUCCACAACUGUCUCCUUAGCAUUGGAUUUGGGCUGGCAUACACAGCCGUUACCCAAGACACAAAGGUCUUAUUCAUACAAAAUUUAAAGUGAAUGAACUGCCUAUGAUUAAUUAAGACUUCCACCUCUAUGGAAUUUCGCCAAAGAAGCCAAAUUCCUCCAGAAAAACCCACAGCUUCCACCCGGUGCGAAUACUCAAAUCCACUUUUCUUUAUAAAGUCAUCGGCUUUAGCACCACUAGUGCGAGGUUCCAUUAACACCACCAUCGAUGGAUUGUAGUUUUUAAUAAUUGUUUUAAACGAGCGCCUAAAUACCCCCGAGGCUGCCCCUUGUACAUUCCAGAACAUGAUACUAGCUGACAUAAUAAAAAUAACAGGAGAGAAACAAACGUCUACUGCUGCUGUCCAAGGACUUCCUCCAUCCACGCCAAUGGCGUUUCUUGAACCAUCUCAACUUCAUUCUCAACCAUCCCAUCGCCAUCAACACCAUUUAUAGGUACAACUGGAUGGUUAUGAGCACUGUCACCUUCAUUCACCCGAUGGAUGGUUUGAUCAUCUGGAGGGUCUGCUACUUGUUGUGGAUCCGGACCUUGCCUCUCUAUGUGUUCCGCGGUCACGUCCCUUUCAUCACCAUUAGGAAGGGUUUGGGAGGAGCAAACAAACACUGUGUGUUUAGAGGGGUCCAGGGUGGUUGCGAAUGGUGCCACGAGUUGAUUGCUAGAAGCUUUCUGAGGGAAAAUAUGGGGUUCAAAGCUUCGGUUUGCAUGAGGUAGGAUGGAUAUUUCCUUCUCUCUGGUGCUGAAGACACUAGGCUGGAGAGGGUUACAGGUAGGAGUUACUGGGACGUUUGGUUUCCUGCUCUGAUUCCUUGCUGCCACGGCCUUAUUUUGCGGCUUACGACGAGCCAUAGUCUUUGCUGAGGUAUCUGCUCUGGCUGUGAAAGUAUGGUUUGAUGCGGGCAUGAAAGGUUGCCGUGAGGUGGAAGGGAAGUCUGGGCAAGCCUCAUGCACAUGGUUUCCACCUUCAUCCGAGACUUUGGAUAAUAUGUGAAACCGUGAGGUACCAGCUCCAGUAAACUCCCUAUUACGGUUUGAGUCUCCAGUGUUCUCCUUACCAAUAUUCGGCUUCCUUCCUCUCCUAGUGGCAAUCAUCCAGGGUCCGAAUAGUUCCACAUUAUUAUCACCAUUACUACCUACAGCCUGCUGGCCAGGAGCCUCAUUUUCCGGCACUGCCUGUUGGGGUUGACCAGCAUCUUCAGGGCUUGUCGAACUCUUAGCAUCCUUACAGUUGCUGCUACUAUGCCCGUAAGAUUCCACACUUAUAACAAAUUACUGGCAAUCCCUCGUAUUCCACCUUCUGGAUCUUCCCAUCCAAUUCAAACUGAGAUACCAGCGGCCUUGUUAACGAGAUACUUACUGCAAGACGUGCAAAUCUUCCACGAGAUGAGGAGGCUGUAUUCGAAUCGAUUUUAAUCACGUUACCCACUAACUGACCCAGCUUCUGUAGAACUUUUCGAUUAUAAAGAUGAACCGCAAGGCCUGGUAAACAGAUCCAUACCGUGACUUGAUCAAGAUCCGCAUUUGUGAAAUCAAAAGAGGGUGUCCAUGGCUGCACAGUUAAAUAUUGACCCAUUAUAAGCCACGGUCCCUUAGUUAAAACAUCCAUAGCAUCCCCUACCGAUCUGAAACGAACCAGAUAAUAAUUGUUUUCCAAGUCAAUCACGGAAAAACCCAUGGCUGAUUUCCACAUGACAUUUAAUCUUGCACACAUAGCUCUAUAGCCAAUUGUGCGGCCAAGCAACUUCACAACCACCGAGUUCUUCCAAGGCUCACUUAACUUAGCAUGAACCCUAGCCGAAAAAGUGAUGGAUGGCAUGGGUCCCUCGUUAGUUUCAAUAAUGUCUCCUUCCUCAAAAUCCCAGUCCUCUAGUCCACCUCCAAUUCCUUGCUCCAUCGCUUGUGUUGCAUUCACUAGGGUUUCUUUGUACGAAAACUGUACAGUGGUAUCCCCAGCAUGUUCUUCAUCACGAAAUCUUGCUUUUUUAAUCGUUCUAGCCUCCCUAAACGGCGGGGGAAAAAUCCCUCCGGAGUUAGGGUUUCCUUCACGUCCGAGGUUUUCGGAGCCUUCCAUAUGGUGUUGAUCUUUUUAAGUCACUCGUUUCAAUAUUUCAUUUAUUUCCUUUUCAAGCUAACAAUUAAUGUAUAUGAAUGUGCGGAUGCAUUGACAUAUAUCUUAUUUUAUCAUUUUGAAUGAAUUGCACGGCGAGGCUUAUCAACUUUGGAUGAAUCCUCCAAUUGUCGCAGUCCAAGACUGGCUGCAGUGAGUGAAAAUUUACCCAUAUAUAUGCUGGCUAUUUUUAUUGGCGACGAAUUCGUUGUAGUUGGUCCAUCUUGCUAUUCUCGGACAAUAUUAGAGAAAAUAAUCAUAUUAUUUCGCGUGAUGUGACCUUCCAUAACGUAUCAAUUGAAUUACUGUAAAAUUAUUGUGUAAGUUUAGGCCCAAUGGCACUUUAGUUCAUCACAUGAUAGCCUGGAUUUAAAAGGAAAACUAUAUUGCAUUGCUUCAAAAAAAAAAUUUAAUGUUUUUAAUAUGAAUAUUUUUAACUAUAUUCAGUUAAAAUAAUAUAUUCUUAAUAUUAAUAUUCAUAGAUGAAAUUCUUUUGCGGAUUUAAGAAUAAAAUAUCAAAUAGUUUUAUUUUUCUUUUGUUGUGUAACUUGGACCGAAAAAGAAAAUGAGCUUAACAUGACCCUCCUUCCGGCACUAUGCAUGUUUUUCUUUUAUUUUUCUUGUAUUGAUGACAGUGCUCUUGGUGCUUCUCAUCUGCUUCUUGCUUUGGUUUCAAACAAGUCUUUCUCCGUCGAGACAUUUAUUGUAAUUUGAUUUGGAGACAUCUGUCGUUCAAAUAUAUUUCAUAUGCAAGCUGUUGAUAAUUCUGCUUGAGAAAGCCUUCAAAGCAGCUGUGUGAUGUAAUAGAAGACUAUAUAUGCAAGCGGGUACCGAGCUCGAAUUCUUUCUUGAGUUUCUUUGAAUUAUUUGUGAAUGAGUUCUUAAUCGGCUGCUGCUCUUCAGGAAAAGGAAAGUGUUGCAAACUGGUGAAGCUGAUCGAUAAAAGCAAUGUACCAUCUUUGCUGCCAUGGAUCGAUGCCAGUGAGUUUUUUAAUUUGUCAACCUUUUUAAUAAUGCAUAUGUGUUUCUUCAACUUGAAGCGGCAUUUAAGACGAAAGAAGUGAUCUUUAAAGCAUUCUAUAGCAUUAUCCUUUCCUAUUAUAUAUAUCCAAUUGCUCCAAAUUAUUUGUAAAUUACUGAACACGAAUGCUGAUGAAUAAACUGAUGGCUCUAUGUAUGUAUGCACAUGCAUGGAGAAAUUUUAAGUCAGACAUUCCCAUAUAUAACUCGUGCUACCAAAUCAUUAAAUAAUCUUGAAAUCAAAGUAAUAAUUAAAUACAAAUAAAUUGCUCGAAUUGUACAUAUAUCUGAAUCAUGUAGUGAAGAAAAUACAACAACAACAACCAAUGGCUCAAAUUCCCCAUCAACUUCUAAUCUCAACACUUUUGAGUGUCAGAAGCAUUACUCUGCUACCAGUUAACAAACAUAUAAUUAGUAAUUUGCCAUUCACUUCCCUUUUAGGCCUAACACAUUUUCUAUAAAGGAGCCACAGAGUGAACUCAGCAGGAAACACUCAAUUUCAACCUACGUAGGACCAGGAAUUUCAACCAAAAAAAAAGUGUGCAAUUGCUUAUCCUAUCCUAUUGCUACUAGAAAGAAAGUGAACAAUUAAUUUCAGUGAAUAAAUUAAAAAAAAUUACUUCUGCAGAUACUCAAGCUAAGAACACAUUAACCCAUUAAAGACUCCAAAUUGCAUCAAACAAAUUGUUGUUAAACAAGUAAAACAAAGAAAGAGAGUUAAGGAAGCUGACCUAGUAGUAGGGGAGCUGAAGAAAGACUGCCAGUGAAUGUAAGAGAAAAUAAAAUGCAAUAAAUGGUGAAGUGCAGCUUUUCAUGUCAACUUGAAAUUGUUUCUUCUGUUUUUUUUUUUUUUAAUCUUUUGGAUUUUUAAAACAAAGAAAAUGAGGAGCAACCAGGGAGAUAAAAAGGGCGCCAAGGCAACUGUGUGUUGGGUUUAGAGCCCAAAAAAAAAGGAGGAUAAGACAUCGUGUUCUUGUGGAGACCAGACCUAUUACGUAACGUCCCCUUCAAUACCACUUGUUCCGUAUCUGGUUUUUUCUUCGUCUUUUACAUAUUUAUCCUGUGAUUUUACAAUAACUAAAUAAUCCCCGCAUAGUUUGCAAUUUUAUUCAUUUGAGCCCUACAGAUUUCAGUAAUAGGUAGAGUUGGCAAAACGGGUCAUCGGGUCGUGUUCGUGUCAUGUCAAAUUUAAGUCGACCCAAACCCGACCCAUUUAAUAAUCGUGUCAAAAUAUUGAGACCUAAAUCCGACACGGAAAAAUAAUCGGGUUACCCAAUAACUCGUUUAAUAUCAAUAUAUUGAACAAAAGUUACAUCAAAUAUUUACACACUAUCAUACAUACAUACAUAAUUUAUCGAUAUUAUAAAAUAUAUAUAUCUACUAAUAUAUUACACAUUUACACUAUUGAGGUUUUAAUUAUAUAUAUAUAUAUAUAUAUACCUACGAUGAUUGUUUAAGCCGCGGUAAACGCUUCUAGAACGCCCUCUGGCAGGAAGGAAGGUACUCAAAGAAAGUGGAGAUGAGGGAAACUCCGCUGGAGUGAGGGGAUUUAUCGGAAUCUCGUUCAGAGUGAGGAGUCAAUGAGGGUUUGCUUGUACUUGUGGUUCUAUUGAUAGGUGUUUGCAAUGGGCUUUCGUCUCAGGUAGUUCAGUCUCCGGGGUUACGCUUAGUUUCAUAUAAAAUAAAUGAAGAAGACAGCUGGACUUCAGAGUGGGAUCCUCCUAUGUUGUCGGCUGUUUGUUUGUCCGCAGCUAUUACAGCUUGUGCUCGAAUAUAUAUGUAUCCAUAUAUUUCCAGAUAUUAUAUAUCAAUAUAUAUAUAUAUUAUUUAUCAAUAUUAUAAAAUCUACAUAUCUAUCAAUUUUUUCACAUUUACACUAUUGAAGCUCUAAAUGUAUUUAAAAUUUUAUAAAUAAAAUAUUAUGUUUAUAUUCACCCUUUUAAAGAAUAAAAAAGAAAAUCAUUACUAAUAUUUGAGUUUUAAUGAUAAGAAUAUGUAAAUUAUUUUAAAAUAGAAAAUAUAAUCGGGUCAUUGAUCGGGUAAAUGGGUCAAGAAUUUUAACUCUAACCCGACACGGAAAAAAAUCGUGUUGACCCGGACCCGACCCAUUUAAUAAUCGUGUUAAAUUUGACGACCCAUAUUCAUUUAUUUAUGUCGUGUUCGUGUCGAGUAAUCGGGUCGUGUCAAAUUUUGCCAGCUCUAGUAAUAGGAAUUAUUAAGGGACAAGAGCGCAAAACAAAAACUCUGUCCACUACUGAUGAUAUAACAACGAACCUUUGUUUUUUUCUUCUUUUUUUUUUACAAAAUAUCAUUAGAGAAAUGAAAAUAUUAACUAACAUCACCCUACUGAUGAUAUAACAACGAACCUUUGUAGUUUCUGCCUGUUAAUAUGAAUUGAUCAGGAGUGUUUCCUCACUUAAAAAUUACGAAUUUACAAAUAUGUAUGUAAGUAUGUAUGUAUGUACGUACGUACGUGAGUAUGUAUGUACAUAUAUGCAUACACCUAUGUAACAUUUACUUAUCCAUCCUUUUGAGUUUAAAACUUAAUACACAUUUUCAUGAAAUUUUUAUUUUAUUAAGUAUACAACUACAGUAAUGUAUAUAUUUUUUAUAUAAGACAUGCCGUCAUAUUAUUCAUAAGUAAAACAAUGUGUUGUAAAUAGUUUAAUUAUUAAAUAUCAUACAAUAUCUUUCAACAACCGGCAAUAGACCUUUACCCAUUUUUCUUUUUCGACCAUUAGAUUCAUUCAGUUUACAUCCAACGGCAGUUUAGGAUGGAGACAAAAAGUGUGGUACGUUACCACAGUGGUAACAUUGGAUUGGGAUUGUAUGUCGUGUUUAAUUUGAAUUGGUUGAUUCCUCUAAUGAAUUAUUUUGAUAAAUUUAGUAGCAGUAUUUGGCGGCAAAAGUAUCAUUAAUUUUUGGAAAUAUGAUUAUGUUAUUAAUUAUUUUAGCAUUCUAAAAAGUCAAUGGUUAUGUUGGAAAUACUCUAAGGUAGAAUAGAGUACAAAUCACAGUCACACAUACAAAAUGAUAAAUAAUAAAAAAUAUAUUAUAUUUUUGAUCAUAUGAUUAUGAAGACGUAUUUUACCUUAAAGAAGUUCUAAUAAGCGAAUUCUUCUAAAACAAUAUAAAAUUUCUUUUUUAUCAUACUCAACCGCUUCAAACUUCUAAGAAGUAGAUAUACAAUGAGUGGAAUACUGAAUUGAGUGCGAGCUGCGGAUAAUAUAUAAAAUUGGGAUACAAGCUUCAAGGAAAGUGUAUUGCUAUUCAAAUGUAGAUUUCAAAUUAAGAAGAUAUGCCAGCAAAUUGUAUAAAAAUGUAUAAAUUGAUCAGUAACAUUAAUUCCAAAUGAUGAAAUGAGUUAUCUUGAUCAAAAGGUCAAGAACCUACCUUACUUCUCUUAGAGAUAACUUGCAUCAACCGUUGUGGUAUUGAUACUUGUCUUCAGCUAGUAAAAGACUAAAAGUGAAAGUUUCACAAUUGAAAUAAAGCUAAGGGAAGAUGCUAUGCUCCAUUUAUUAUUAUUAUUAUUGAUGUGGUCGAGAAGUAAAGCCAUGCAUAUGAUGAAGUAUAAAUAAGAAUGCAAUAGCCCGGAAUUCAUUUACACAAACACUUCAAUAUCCUUUUGAUCACUUUUGCAAACAUCAGUUUGUCUCUUGUAUUCACCAUGGUUGAUGCCAUCGUUUCCUCUCUUGUGGAGCAGCUGACUUCCUUCGCUGCUAAAGAGAUAAUACAACAGGUGAUCGAAGUUACACCCCCCAUAUUAUAAAUACUUCUAAUGAUUUUAAUUGGUUUUGUUUUUAUCGGAAACAUUAACUUUGCUUUAUUUUAUUUAUUUAGGCAUUUUAAAUUUUAAAAUUUGAAUUGAAUUCAAUUAAAAUGUGAUGUAGCUAGUAACCACUUUUUUUAUUUCAUUUAUAUUCUCAAUAACUACCCAUAUUUUGGUAACUUACUGUAACCCCCGUAUCUAAGAAAUGAUUAAAACCCACAAUUUUAACUCCACAUAAAUAUUCCAUGUUGAGCUAAGUUUUUGCAUAACAUUCAAGUUUGUUAAAUAGUCAUUAAUUUAAUGUUUAGUAAAAACUUAUCUCUGAAAAUUUUCAUAAUUUUCUUACAUUCUUUGAGUUUGGUGAGUGACUUCAUAUAAUUUCUUUUCAAUUUAAAUUUUAAUUUGGUUUCUGAUAUAGUCUCUUUACUGAAUUUAUAUCUUUUAUGAUUCUUGGAUUUUGGGCUCCAACUUUUUAGGAUUUGAUAGUCACAUUUUAUGGCAUGCUUAGAUUGAUUUUCAUGAUUUGAGUACUCGUUAAGUGACUGAGAAUUUGACAAAAGUUUGAAAGGAAAUCCGUUUCACGAUUCUUAUGUGGAAGGUUCGUAAAAUCAUGAAAUUUGGAUAGGAUUCGCUAGCAAUAUGUACAAGACUCUUCAUGAAGUUUCAUAAUUUUUCGUUCGGUCUGGGGUGGUACAGGUGAAACUUGUGGUUGGUGUUAAAGAAGAAGUGAAAAGCCUUAUCAGCCACCUUCAAGCCAUUCAAGCUGUGCUCGAUGAUGCAGAGGAAAAGCAAGUGAAGGACAAAGCUGUUAGACAUUGGCUGGGCAGGCUCAAGUAUGCAUCCUACGACAUUGAAGAUGUGUUGGAUGAGUGGAUCACAGCUAGACACAAAUUGCAAAUUGAGGGUGGCGUUGAUGACAAUGCUCUUGCUGCUCCUCAAAAGAAAAAGAAGGUAUGUUUCUGCUUUCCUGCCUCUUGUUUUGGAUUCAAACAAGAAGAAUUUGGUUUCAGACAAGUCUUUCUACGUUAUGACAUUGCCAACAAGAUCAAAGAAAUGAAUAAAGAGCUACAUGAUAUUGCCACUCAAAAAGACAUGUUUAAUCUUGUUAAGAGUGGCAAUAAAAGUGGUGAAAGACCAAGGCGUGUACAGAGUACCUCCUUGAUUGAUGAGGAAGAGAUUUGUGGUAGAGUUGGUGAGAAGAAUGAACUCAUAAGCAAGCUGUUGCGUGAGAGUAGCGAGCAACAAAAAGGCCUCCAUAUGAUCUCAAUUGUUGGUAUGGGAGGCAUAGGGAAAACUACUCUUGCACAACUAGCUUGUAAUGAUGACGUGGUGAAGAGAAAGUUCGACAAAAUUCUGUGGGUGUGUGUAUCAGAAACUUUUGAGGAGUUUAGGGUUGCCAAAGCAAUCGUUGAAGCUUUGGAUGGUCGUGAAUCUCAUUUAGGUGAAUUCCAAUCUCUUCUUAAACAUAUUGAUGAAUCCAUUGCAGGGAAGAGCUUUCUUCUUGUCUUAGAUGACGUGUGGGAUGGAAAUUACUUGAAAUGGGAACCAUUCUAUCGUUGUCUAAAGAAUGGUCUCCAUGGAAGUAAAAUUUUAGUUACCACACGUAGUGGGUCCGUUGCAUCCACGAUGGGAUCCAUAGAUAUUAUUCCCAUUGAGAAAUUAGCUGAAGAGGAAUGUUGGUUGUUGUUUAACAAGAUAGCAUUUUUUGGUAGGCCUAUCGAGGAACGUGAAAAAUUCGAACGAAUUGGGCGAAGAAUUGCUGGCAAGUGCAAAGGUUUACCUCUUGCAACAAAGACAAUAGGUAGUCUCAUGCGUUCUAAACAAACUGAAGAAGAGUGGAAAAGAAUUUUAAAUAGUGAUUUAUGGAAAGUAGAAGAGAUUGAGAAAGAUGUUUUGUCCUCUUUAUUGUUGAGUUACAAUGAUUUGCCAUCUAGAGUAAAAAGAUGUUUUUCAUAUUGUGCUCUCUUUCCAAAAGACUACGAUAUAGAAAAAGACAAACUAAUCACAUUGUGGAUGGCUCAAGGUUAUCUUAGUGCAGAAGAAGAUGAGGAGAUGGAGACUAUAGGUGAAGAGUAUUUUAGCAUCUUAGCUUCUCGCUCUUUCUUUCAAGAGUUUAAGAAAAGUUAUGAUAAUCGGAUUAUAGAGUGUAAGAUGCAUGAUAUGGUACAUGAUUUUGCCCGAUUUGUAAGUCAAAAUGAAUGUUUUUCGAUGGCAAUUAAUGGUAGUGAAGAACCAAACGCCACAAACUCUGUUGAUGAGAAGGUCCGUCAUUUAAUGUUAAUCUUUAGUAUAGAGGCUUCAUUACCUGUUUCCACUCCUAGAGUUAAAAGAAUGCGUACCCUCUUAAUUAACGAUAGUAGAUCUGAUCAAUCAUUAUUAAAUGGUGAGAUCCUAGAAGAAUUGUUUAGGGAAUUGACAAGUUUAAGGGCAUUAGAUUUUGACAAAUUGUACCACUCAAUUUGGUCUUCGACUCUGGAGAUUCCGAGAAACAUAGAAAAGCUGGUACAUUUAAGAUACCUUAAUUUGUCUUCUCAGAAAAUAGUGGAGCUACCGGAGACAUUGUGCGAGUUAUAUAAUCUAGAAAAGUUAGAUAUUAGUUUUUGUUUUGAUCUUAGAGAAUUACCUGAAGGGAUUGGGAAGUUAAUAAACAUGAAGCAUUUACUAAAUUAUGAUACUGAUUCUUUAAGGUACAUGCCAGUAGGGAUUGGGAGAUUAACGGGUCUUAGGACCUUGGAUGAGUUCCACGUGAGUGCAGGAGGAGCUGUUGAUGGUAGGAAAGCAUGUAGGCUUGAAUCUCUUAAAAACUUGGAACACCUUCAAGUAUGUGGUAUACGUAGACUGGGUGAUGUAUCAGAUGUGGGCGAGGCUAAGCGAUUAGAACUUGACAAAAAGAAAUACCUCUUCAGUUUGACCCUUGAGUUUGAUAAGAAGGAGGAAGAAGAAGGAGAAAGAAGGAAGAACGAGGACGAUCAACUUCUUCUUGAAGCCCUGCGACCACCUCUGGAUUUAAAGGAAUUAGAGAUACGGUUCUACCGAGGCAACACUGUUUUCCCCAGCUGGAUGACGUCAUUAACCAACUUAAAGAGUUUAAAACUCUCUUUCUGCGAAAAUUGCGAGCAGCUGCCUCCUUUGGGAAAAUUGCCGUCCCUUGAACAGCUCUUCAUAUCGUACAUGUCGAGUGUGAAAAGAGUGGGUGAUGAAUUUUUGGGGAUAGAAAGUGAUCAUCAUGGCUCAUCUUCAUCUUCAUCGGUUAUUAUUGCCUUCCCCAAAUUGAAAUCACUUUCAAUUGAGUUUCUGUGCGAAUUGGAGGAGUGGGAUUAUGGGAUUACAAGAACGGGAAACACCGUCAUCAACAUCAUGCCACGUCUUUCUUCCUUGACAAUUGCUCUUUGCCCCAAAUUAAAGGCACUGCCCGACCACAUUCAUCAAACGACAACAUUGAAGGAAUUGCACAUUUGGGAUUGCAGGCUUCUGGAAGAACGUUAUUGCAAGGGGGAAGGAGAAGACUGGCCUAAGAUAUCACACAUUCCCAACCUCCAUAUUGGGCAUUGACAAGUAAUUUCUUCUCUUACUCUGAUUUGCUUUGUUGUUGUUUUUAAUCUAAUUAAGAAGCGUAAAUAGCAUUUUGAAUCAAACUCUAUAUCAGAAAUCUGCAAUACUUACUUUCUAAUAUUCUGAUUUUCAUAUCCUAUGAAUAUACGAUUUUUAAUUUGUGAGAUGGGUAACGUUACUGUAAAAGAUUAUUAAUGCAAUAUGAGUAAUUCUUUUGCAGGACAAGUGACCUACAUUUAGUUUGGCUUUGGAGUUGAAUAAUAACCUUUCGGGAACUGGUGUGGACUGGCAAAGGAUGAUGAGAUAGUUUUUUGAGUGAGUAAAUUUUGGGAGCUUGAGUGUAUUGGGAUUUGCAAUUACAAUCAUCGUCUGCCUCAGGUGAUUUCUUCUCCUGCUCUGUCAUUGUUUGUUCUCUAAUUCAAAAGCAUAAAAUAUUUCAAUCAAUUUUUAUGCCAGGAAUAUGCAAAAGUUUCUAAUAUUUUAUUUCCAUCUGUCACAAGAUCAAACUGAAGCAGAACUCAAACAAAAGUAUGCUACUUCUUGCGGAAAUCUUGCCUUCGUUCAAAUUAUGAAACCAUUUCCAUGCAGCAAAUUCAUCCAAAAGUUUGAAUAAGUUUCAUGGUUGGACACUGUUGGCUUCUUUUUCUUCUGGGGUGCAUUUAGGUGCUAUCAAGUGACAGCUGUAAGUAUGAUUGCACUAAGCUGCUGCUGGGAAAUUUGAGGUUUUGAUGGCUGCCCAUGUUAUUUUCAAGAAACUAUUGAUGUAAGAAGCCGUGGUUCUUUUCAUCAGCUUGAACCUGAAACUGUCGCUAUGGAUAACUCAGGUUUUUGUUAUCAACUAUAUCAUCUUUUUCACUAUUUUGAAACUCUUAAGAUUAAACGUUAGUAAAGUUGUUUCAGCUAUUCAAAUGAAAAACUCAUUGAUUUGAGACUUCCUUCAUUAUUGUUUCUAAUUACAAUGCUAACGAUCCAGAUAAAAUAAUAUUUAAUCGGCGAAGGUGUCCCUUGGAAGUACAUCCUUCUUUUUCUUUUAUUAUAUAAAUUCUUGCAAUGAGCUUAGUCAAGAUGUUGUGCUAAUCAUGCCACUGCAUAUAAAUUCUCCAGAAGUUAAAAUCAAUAAAUUUUCUAUUAGCUCUAGUGCUUUGACCUAAAUGCUAUUCUAUAUUCUGAUUACAAUGUUUUAACCUUUAAAUUAACUACCCCUAGGUGUUGGAUUUUCUAGAACUUCAAAAUGAUUAAUGGAGAAAGAUCCCAUUAUCGUUAUUGCUAUAAGAAAUUGAUUUAUGCAUCCAAAGAUACAUUAUAUAUUUCUGUGUCUCUAUUUAUAGAUGACAUUUAAGCAUCCAUAAACCGUCAGACAGAGGAAGGGGGUUCAGUGCAAAGAUUCUGUUGACCUAGGGUUGACUGCAUAAUGUCACUUGUUCGCAAUCUAUUAUUUAUUUUAUAUUUUGAAGAAUUUAAUGGGUAAUCCUAAUUGUUUGUUUUGGCAGGUAUGUGUUGUUUUCUCCUUCUAUCUAACAGUCGUACCUAAAUAGCAUAGUUUCAUCUGUGUUACCAUGUGAUGUACAUAAUUUCACAUUUGCCUCAGAUUAAGCUUAAUUUCCCACAGAAUAGAGCUGUCGCGACUGGACUUAGGUUGAUGUCCAAAGAGGUAAAUUAUUGGCAUGCCUAGAUAAUUUGGCCAUUUCCUAAUUCAUAAGUCUACAUUAAUUUUGAUUUUGAGUUGACUGAUUUCUUUUCAAGGUCUGCUUCCUUAACGGAGUGACCAAUGUUUUUCAACUAAAUUUAUCAUAUGAUGCAGGAAGCAGGGCAGGAUAUGAAAUGAGAAGCUCAUUGGUGGAAGUAUUGCCAGUAACAGAACCCAAAGAAAAUGAAACUAUUUCAAGGCAGCAGUUGGCAGUUGCAAGUGAAUGGAGGCCCUGACAAAAUUCUCAAGCGGUUGCAAUGCAAUUACGAUCAUCCUCAGCCUCAGGUAAUUUCUUCUCCUGCUCUGUUUUUAUUUGUUAUCUAAUUAAAAAGCAUAAAGUAUCUUGAAUCACUUUCUCUAUCUGGAAUAUAUGCAGCAGUUUCUAAAAUCUUCAUAUGAGUGUAAUGAUGGUAAUUUCUGUUUUUUGUCUGUCAUUGAAUGUUAGACAACUUUCAGUGAGACUCUUGAACCGAGACAUUUUUGACAACUGAAGGACAAUUGCUGAAGAGUCGGAAUGGUGCUAGAUUGGGGAAUAAAGACAAAGGAGGUAAAUUAUUUGCAGUUUAUUCAGCAUUAUUUGCUUUGGACCAGCGCCUGAUUCACAAGUCUCCAUAAUUUGGCUUUUGACCAGUUAAUAAAUUUUUAAUUCCAUUGGUGCUAAAUGUACACGUGAAGCAGGCAGAGCAGGACUGUGGAAAUGAGAAGGUUUUUAGUGAAAGCUUAAACUCAGGUAAUUCUAAAAAGUACAUGUUUUUGCUGAUUUAUCUAAAUCAGGAAAUUUUAUUUCCAUCUGUUACAAGAUAAAACAGAAACAGAACACAAAGAAAAAUAUUCUACUUCUUGUGGCAAUCUUGCCUUCAUUCAGACAAUGAAACCAUUUCCUUUCACCAAUUUCUUCCAAAAGUUUGAAUAAGUUUCAUGGGUGGACCUAGUUAGCUUCUUUUUCUUUUGGUGCAUUUAGGUCCUAUCAAGUGACAGCCAUAAGUAUGAUUGCAUUAUUGGGAAAUUUUAGGUUUGGAUGGCUCCCCAUGUUAUUGCCAAGAAAGUCCUCAUGUCAGAAGCUGCGGUUCUUUUCAUCAGCCUGAACCCGAACCUGUCGUUAUGGAUAACUCAGGUUUUUGUCAUCAACUAUAUCAUCUUUUUUACUGUUUUGAAACUCUUAAGAUUAAACUUCAGUAAAGUUGUUUCAGUUAUCCAUGUAAUCAGGCUAAGGAUAUUUAGCAGCUUAUUUAGGCAACUGCCAGAAUUCAGUUUGUUAGCUCGAAACUUGUAUGGUGACAAGGAUACUGGCAAGGAUAGUGAGAUAGUUUUUUGUGUGAGUGAAAUUUGAAAGCUUGGGUGUUCUGGGAUUUGCAAUUGCAAUCAUCCUCUGAGUCAGGUGAUUUCUUCACCUGCUCUGUCUUGAUUUUCUCUCUAAUUGAAAGCAUAAAGUAUUUCAAUCAAAUUCUGUACCAGGAAUACGUAAAAGUUACUAAUAUUUUAUUUCCAUCUGUUUGCAUUGAUAACUCGGCGGCAUAUGUUCUAGUUAAAGAACAAACAGAAACAGAGUUCAGGAAAAAGUUUCUUCGGCCACCAUAUUUGAAAAUGAAACCAUUUCCAGGAAGCAGUUGGCAGCAAAUUCAUAUGGAGUGUAGACAAUGAUGAGCAAAAAGGUGAUUCGCAAUUUCUUUUUUUUUUUAAGUGAAAUUAUUUGUUAGAUUGAAGCUGAUAUUGUAAGAAGGCCAUUGAGCUAACCUAUGUCGCCACUUGCCUAGAUUGCAGGGGGUCAAGACUCAAAAGAAGCACUGAAAUUUAAAAAGCAUGCAAUAGUUCUUUUGCCAUGUGUCAAUUAAUGCAAGUUUGAAUAAGUUUAUUGGCUGAACGAUGUUAGCUUCUUUUCCUUUCGUGCACUUUGGUAUGCUAUCAAGUGACAGCCGUAUGUAUGGCUUGCAUAUAGCUGCUGCUGGGAAAAUUGACGAUUUCAUGGCUGGCCGUGUUAUUGUCUUAAAUUAGUUGUGAUAAGCUGUUGCUUGGAGAUUCUGUUGCCAAGAAUUUGCUCACAUCAGAAGCUGUGGAAUCUGAACCCUUCGAUUCUGUUGCCAAGAAUUUGCUCACAUCAGAAGCUGUGGAAUCUGAACCCUUCGUUAUGUAUCAUCUUUUUCAUUGUUUUAAAACAGUAAACUCUCAGGACACUGAGCAGGCAAAUGUUAUAACUCGGUUUGUUAGCCAAAAACUUGUUGAAGAUUCUUGACAAAGCUGCGUCGAGUGAAUUGUCGGAGCUCUGAGGGUGAGAGAAAUUAGAGGGUGUAUAGGGAUUUGGAUUUGUUAGGAAGUUAUCAUUUUUAUUUGUCCGAUUCAAAACUUGAUAUUCCAAUUAUAUUCAUAAGCUUCUACAGUUAUCUUCAAAAAGACAUUCCAAUUAUAUUCAUAAGCUUCUACAGUUAUCUUCAAAAAGACAAAUGGAAGGCUUUGAACGGCUUGGGUCUGAGUAUUGUAGUUUGAUUUAUUUUGAUGAAAGAACCUUUUGACAUUAAGAUUCUUUCAUGAGUUAAACAUUCUUUUUAAAACCAACUUAUUAAAAAAAAAGUAACGAACAUAUAUUAUUUUGUUAGUGCUUUUUAAAUCAAAUAUAAAAAAGAGAACUGUAAUUCUUAGCAACCAAUUUUUCAUUGAGUACACCUACAACAAAUUAUUAAAAAAUAAAGCGAUAGAAAAUGCCUGAUUUUUCGUACUUUCUAAUUACUUUUGGUCCUAAAAUAUGGCGAUUUGUGUAAUAAUAAGCCCAUGUAUAUCUUUAUGCCAUUAGUUUGAUAAAUAACUAUCAAGGAUAACUUAUUAAGCUAAAAAUAUUUGAAGGAUAAAAUGGGAAAACUAAAAGGGUGGAGUAAUAAAGUUAUUUAAGAUUACAUAGUAAGUUAACUAUAUUCGAGGGAUAAAAUAUUAAAACUUGAAUAGUUAUAUUAAAAAUAUCUCGGCUAUUAUACUAUUAAACCAUAUGCCGUAAUAAUGUUUUUUUUCAAACUUUAAAAAAUUCAGGAUUUUAAAUUAAAACAUGGAUUUCUUUAAGAUGCUAUAUGUGUUUUUACAGUAUUGAUAGUGGGAUUAGUGUGUACCCUUAUAUGAAAGAGUUUUAAUCUGAAUCAUUCAUUUAAUAUAAUAGAUAAUUAAAUAAUUAAUUAAAAUAUAGCAGGUAACUUAUAGGUUGCAGGUAAAAAAUUAAUUUUUUAAUUUUAAAUUAAAAUUAAUUUGGAACAAAACCAUCCACACCCCUAAGGUUUACUUAAAUGAUCAUAUAAAUCCCUUUAGUUUCUACAUAGUUAUACAGACCCUCUUAAUUUCAUAAAUUAUUAUUAUACUUUUAAUUAAAACAACCUAAAUGAAUAUAAAUAUAGUAAUAGGAUAGAAAUAAUAAAUAAAUAUCAGAUGAAACAAAUAAAAUAUUACAAUAAAUACAAUUAAUUAAAUAACAUGUAUGAUGAAAAUUUUAUUCAUAUUAAGUUAUUAUUAGUCUAUCCCGAUGGAUUUACUCAAAUCAAUUAAUCCAAAAUUUAAUUUUAAGAUUGAUAUUAAUAUGGACAUAAUUAAAUAAGAUGUUGUAAUAUAUACUACUUUGAAUGUUAAGUAUAAUUAUCUAAUAUUAUUAGUAUGUGAAAUAGAUUUUAAUAUUAUUAAAGAAUAUGACAAUAUAUAAUUUUGAAUUAAAUUUUUUAGUAUUCAUGAUAUUUUAUAAAUUUUAUGUGAUUUUAUAUAUUAUAUUUUUUAAUUUUAAUGUAUUAUAUAUGAUCAUUUAAGCAAAUUUUGGAGGUGCGGUGGUCUUUUCCCUAUUAAUUUUGUAGCAUAUUUAAAGUGUUAUAUCAUACAUGAUACAUCACACUUUUGUUAAAGUGUUAUGUUAUUAAAAAUUAAACUUUGCAUUUAUAAUAUACUACCAUUUUAAUGUAAAGGUAAUAGAAAAUAUGAAGAUAUUUUUAAGUAGUCAAUUGUAGCUUUCUUUUACAAAAUAGCAGUAUAGAAAUACAAUUGGUAAAAUGUAAUAAAAAUGGUAUGGAAAAAAGUUAGUAGAGGCAAUUAUUCUUGUAGUUGCUAAAACAUAUGAAGUGACACACACACACACACACAUAUCAAGUACUUGUAUGUUCCCCUAACUUUUAUUAAUGGGAAGGAAAUUAAAUUCGUAAUUUUCCCGGUGAAUUAUGAAUUGAUAAAUGAAAUAUAAAUAUUAGUAAAAAUUAAUUUGUCGACUAAAGAAGUAAACCAUAUUUUAUGGGCAUUUAAUACAUUAAUUUAAGGUCAAAUGAGAUAAUAUCACAUGAUAUUUGAUACAAGAGUCCAAUUUUCAACAUUUGCAUAUAGUUUCUAAGCUAGUAAUCUAAUAAAAUAUACCAAAUGAGAAAUUGAAGGCUAUUAUUUAUAUUUCACCAUUGGACAAACACCAUACAUUAGAAUAAAAAAAUCUCACAGUAGAGACGGCAUCUGUUUGCAUGUUUUGAAAAUAGAUUUUGAAAUUAGUUUAAUUACAUGAUAAUUAAAUUAUAUUAUAAAAUUAAGAAUAUGAUUUAAGUACUAUUUUAGCAAUUUUGAGUCUCACAUUGAGUAUUCAAGUUAAUUAAAUGUUGAAACUCUUUUCUAUUUGGCUUGAAAUCACUACUAAAUAAAAUUACAAAAAGUCAAUAAUGAAUGAUGUAGGACACAUAUGUAAAAUAAAUUUUAAAGUGUAAUUAAACAUUCCUAUCAAUAUUAGUUUUGCAUACAUAUUCAUAUAUUUUACCGAAACCAUAUAUAAUUAAAUUUUGUGUAAUUAAGUAAAAUAUAUUAUUCAAGUGAAUUUAUGAGAAUAUUUAAAAUUGUAGGGGUCGUCACUGAAAUUUGCCAAACUUGAGCCAACCGUGCAUGAUCCAAACAGUUUAUUUUAAUAAUUCUCAAUAUGUUAGUCUGUUUGACUGUUGGCAAAAUAAAUUCCUAUCAGCAAUGCAACACAAUUCAAAAUCAUAUCUGCAUACAACGAACAAUAUCUCAUGAAAGAUCAAAUUAUACAUUUUUUACACCAAACCAUAAAUAUCUAAAUUGUCCCUCUUCAACUCACCAAGCUCAUACCUAACAACAGCAAGAUUAAAUGUCAUUUGAUCCAUCUUUUUUAUUAAGCUUUAUCAAUUCUUCUCAUGGUUGCAAUUUUGAAAGCUCGCUUCGCUAUUUCCAUUUGCUUUUAUGCUUUGUUUGAGCUCCAUCUUUUCUCUCCAUCUACAUUUUACACUGUAAAAAAAAUUUUAAAAAAAUUACAAAGCUUCUUAUGCUAGAAUAUGAGCAACAAUAUAAAUAAUAAACAAUAAAGUUAUGAUAGCACAGCAUGCUCAUUAAAGUGCUUCUUUUUUUUUUUUUUCAACAAGAAAUUACUACUGAAUUAAAGAUUUGGCUUUGCAUUAAGGUUUGCCUUCAAUAACUCAACUCCCCACUUGGGUUUUGUCGUUUUCUUAAAAUCUCUGCUCAAUCAAUUUAAAGAUCCUUUUUUUUUUCUUUCCAAAGAUCUAAAAGCAAUGUCUUUUAUUGGUACCCAACAAAAAUGCAAGGUCUGUGAGAAGACAGUUUGUCCAGUUGAGCAGUUAUCUACUGAUGGGGUUGUUUAUCACAAGUCUUGCUUCAAGUGCUCUCACUGCACUGCAAAGGCACACUCAAGCUAAGCAAUUACUCAUCCCUGGAAGGUGUUCUUUACUGUAAGCCUCACUUUGAGCAGCUUUUGAAGGAGUCGAGUAACUUCAACAAGAAUUUCCAAUUACCUGCAAAGUCAGCUGAGAAGUUAACUCCUGAGCUGAAAAGGUCGCCUAGCAAAGUUGACAGCAUGUUCUCUGGGCCCAAUAAAAAUGUGCUUCUUGCAGUAAAACAGUGUGUCCGUGGGAGAAGGUAGCAGCGGAAAACCAAGCCUCUCACAAGACAUGUUUCAAGUGCUCACAUGGUGGUAAUUCCAUUAGCCCGUCAAAUUACGCAGCCCUAGAAGGCAUCUUGUAUUGCAAACAUAAUUUCUCCCAAUUGUUCAAGGAAAAAGGCAGCUACAACCACCUUCUAUCAAAUCUGCUUCCAUGAAGCGUGCUGCAGUCUCUGUUCAAGAAGCUUGAACAUGUUAUGUUAUCUUCCAUAAAUCUUAUUUGGCGUGGGUUUUCUCUGGCUUGAGGGUGUGCUUUCUAUUUUGAUCCCUCUUGUUGUUUUUGCGGGGAACUACCAAACCUUCGGUUCCCUCUGCUUCUUUGGAUCAUCUUUGUUGGGACAAAUUUCAUGUAAUUAGAGAUACUGAUUUAUGGGAGGCAUAAUCCCAUGGUUGUAAAUUGACCAUUUUCUGGCAAUGUUCUUUUUAAAAAGAGAUGAGCAGUUGUUUAACAAAAAAAAUAGCUGGCCUUCAUCAUGGUAUGUUACCAAACUGCUAUGUAUAGCUGCUAACUAUGAGCAUCCGAAAAUAUGGUGCAUCGUGAUUCAUGUCGUGCAAUAUGGCUACCAACGCAUCCUAAAUGGAGUAUUACUCAGUUAGUCAGCAAAAUAAGACAACAGUAAGAUAUUAAAAAAAUAAAAACUACAUUAAUAAGUGGGCAAGAUCAUGCCAGUUUAACUUUUCGCGCGUCGCUGCUGGAGAUAAUCAAAUCGGGGCAGAGAAAAGGAGAAUGGAAUCAGAGGCUAAGAUUAAUAAGUGGGCUUCUGCUUGCUUUGCCCCUCUUUCUUAAACGAUUGGUAGACUGCUGCUUCCACCGAUUAACCGGGUCUUCAACCACUGCUUUUAUUGCCUGCCAUCUUGUUGUUUGUCGAAGGGAUGAAUUCGAGUCGAAAAGAGAAAGCGCGCUGAAAAAGACAAAUCACUAGUGGUUAACUACUGACUCAGCCAAGUGUUGGCUUCACUUGAUUCACCGAUUGAGGUUAUUUUGUCUUCUAUCUAAUGCAGCGAAGAAGCUUUACUGCUUAACAUGCUGCAAUGCAACUUUAUCUUUUGAAGUUCACACUUCAGGGCUGCGCACUUUAUGUAAUCCUAUGAGUAAAAAGAAUUUAUUUUCAAAUGUGAAAAAAGAAAAUGUAAGGUAGUAACUAAAUAUAUUAUAGCAUCAAAGUAAGAUUUGAUAUGAAUUUAGUACAACAAAGAACAUUAAAUCUGUGAUUCCUUGUCUAAUGUCACCAUCGAGCAACAAAUUUAAAAGCCUACCUAUCAAAUACACGAGGCAAUAAACGGAGAAAAAGUUGAAUUACAAGAACAAGUUUACAAUUCUUGUCAAUGGUUAAUGAUUCGUGAAUUGAGAUAGCAUUCAAGAAUCCAAUUUCAAUACAACAACGUAAAAGAUAAACAGAUGAUGAAUUUUAUGAGAUAAAGAAGGAGAUUGUGUUUUAUCGUAUCUCUAUUUUCUUUCCAUUUAAAUUUAAAAUAAGCUUUUCAACCGGUUAUAAUAUUUUUUGAAAUAAUUAAAUAUUUUUAUUAUUAAAAAUAAUGUGUACCGUUGAUUACAUCUAACGCUACAUAUUUCUUACACUAUUAAUACCGUAAAAAAAAUCAUAGAGGGACCCUUAAAACAUUUUCAUUUGAAAUUAUUUGGUGAAGUGAAAAAGUUAAGAAAGAAAUAGUUGUCCCUUUGGUCAUUUCACAAAAAUGAAAGCCCCAUAUAACAUGGACUUGAAUGGAAGCCCAAUUGUUGUGUUUGAUUUCAAGCUUUAUCGGACCUUUGGACCUGGAUACUUUACUGCGGCCUCUAAGCGCUACAAAUUUUUUUUUUGGGAUAAAAGGCGCUUCAAUGAAAAAGCACUUUAAAACUUUGGAUUUUGCCAAAACUUCAAAGCGGUUGGUCCAGUUACGGUGUUAUGCUAACGGGUUUAAAGGUUCCGAUCCAAUGAGUUAGGGUGGAAUAUGAAUAUAUAAAUCCUAGUCAUGUAAGGACUAGGAUUUGUUUGUUCAUAUCAAGAAAAAAAAUCUGAAAAUUUGAUGAUCAGAAGAUAAAAACACUUAAACACGUUUAUUACAGAGAAACAAACGACAACAUGAUGCUAGUAGUAAUUUUAUUUUUCUUUUAUUGUGUAACGUGGACCAAAAAAAAGGAAAUGAAUUUAAUAAAACCGUCAUUCCGCAAUAAUAAUGUACCAGCCUGGUUUUUAUAAUCCAUACCAUCCUGAUAUAAUUAAACACCAUUAAUAAUGUACCAGCCUUUAAAUAGUAAUUAAUUUAUUUAUCUAAUUCACCAAAUGUCAUUUCCGGUACAUAUCUCCUGGUAUCAAGAAGAGGCAGAACCCAAAGAAACGUUUCUUGUAUCUUCAUAUUUGUGCGAAUUCAUCCUUUCAUUGAGAAUAACCAUUUCCAGGCGGCAGUUGGCAAUCAAUUCAUGCGCAAGUCGAUGCUAUUCAUAGAUAUUAAAGACAAUGAUGAACCAAAGGUGAUAAAUCAUAAAUGCAUAAUUACCAAACCUCCAUCCUUCUCUCAUUAUGAUUUGAUUUUAAAUGAAUUAUUGCUUGGUAACAUUAUUUCCAACCAUUGCAAGAUUAUUAUUAUUUUUUUUUGGGGAGAAAUUUCAAUUGAAAGUGAAACCUUUAGACAUUUACCUAAUGAAGUUAGUUAAUGGGGAGGGUUGGAAAAAUUCCCAAGCCGUUGCACAGCAAUUACGAUCAUCCUCGGCCUCAGGUAAUUUCUUCUCCUGCAUUUUUGUUAUUUGCUAUCAAGUGACAUUCGUAAGUAUGAUUGUAUUAAGCUGCUGCUGGGAAAUAUAAGGUUUUGAUGGCUGCCCAUGCUAUUGUCAGAAGCUGCGGUUCUUUUCAUCAGCCUGAACCUGGACCUGUCGCCAUGGAUAACUGAGGUUUUUUUUUUUUUAAAUCAACUACGUCAUCUUUUCCACUGUUUUGAAACUCUUAAGAUUAAACUUUAGUAAAGUUGUUUUAGUUAUCCAUGUAAUCAGGCUGAGGAUACUUAGCUGCCUAUUUAGGCAAAUGUCAGACUUUAGUUUGUUCGCUGGGAACUGGUGUGGUGACAGCGUCCUGGCAAAGGAUGAUGAGAUAGUUUUUUGAUUGAGUAAAUUUUGGGGGCUUGAGUAUAUUGGGAUUUGCAAUUACAAUUAUCCUCUGCCUCAGGUGAUUUCUUCUCCUGCCCUGUCGUUGUUUGUUCUCUAAUUCAAAAUUAUAAAAUAUUUCAUCAAAUUUUAUGCCGGGAAUAUGCAAAAGUUUCUAAUAUUUUAUUUCCAUCUGUUUGUCUUGAUAACUUUGCAGCAUAUGUACUAGUUAAAGAACAAAUCGAAACAGAGUUCAGUUAAAAGUUUCUUCUGCCGUCAUAUUUGAAAAAUGAACCCAUUUCCAGGAAGCAAUGGGCAGCAAAUUCAUAUAAAGCGUAGACAAUGAUGAGCAAACAGGUGAUUCACAUUAAUGAAAUUAAUUGUUUGGUUGGAGCGGACAUUGUUAGAAGGCUAUUGAGCUAACCUAUGUCACUACUUGCCUAGAUUACAGGGGGUCAAAACUCAAAAGCGGCAUUGAAUUUUAAAAGGCAUCCAAUAAUUCUUGUGGCCAUAUAUCAAUUCAUGUAUGUUUGAAUGUAAUUAUUGGUGAAGGGGUUUCACUUCCCGUCUCUAAAUAAAAAUACUGAUUCUUUAAGGUACCUGCCACUAGGGAUUGCGAGAUUAAUGAGUCUUUGGACAUUGGAAGAGCUCCUUGUGAGUGGAGGAGGAGGUGUUGAUGGUAGCAAAGCAUGUGGGCAGUGGGCUUGAAUCUCUAAAAAACUUGGAACUCCUCCAAGCGUAAGUAUACGUAUACUGGGAAAUUUGUUAGAUGUGGAUGAGGCUAAGAGAUUAGAGCUUGACAAAAUGAAAUACCUCUUUCAUUGAGACUUAAAUUUGAUGGGGAAGAAGAAAAAGAAGAGGGAAGGAGGAAGAAUGAGGAUAAUCAACUUGUUCUUGAAGCCUUGCAACCACCUCUGAAUUUGAAGGAAUUAGAGAUUUGGUCAUACAGAGGCAACAUUGUUUCCCCCCGGAUGAUGCAAAAAUUGAAGGAAUUUACCAAUCUAAGGAGUUUGACACUCUUUAAAACUGCAAAAAUUGAGAGCAGUUGCCUCCUUUGGGAAAAUUGUGAUCCUUUGAAAAUCUCAGCAUAUUGUACAUGGAGAGUGUGAAAACAGUGGGUAAUGAAUUUCUGGGAAUAGAAAGUCAUCUUCAUGACUCAUCUCCAUCUUUAUCAGUUAUUAUUGCCUUCCCCAAAUUGAAAUCACUUUCAGUUGAGGGAUUGAUGGAAUUGGAGGAGUGGGAUUAUGGGAUUAAAAGAACAGGAAACACCUUCACCAACAUUAUGCCACGUCUUUCUUCCUUGGAAAUUAGUGUGGGGUUAUGGGAUCGCACAACCACGUUGAAGGUAUUGCAGAUUGUGGCAUGUGGUACUCUAAGAAGACGUUGCAGACAGGGGAGAGCAGAAGACUGGCCUAAGUUCUCUCACAUUCUAGACAUCAUGAUUGUGUGAAAAGAGGCCCUUGACAAAAUUCUCUAGGCGGCUACAUGGAGUACAAUCAUAAAAUGCUAAUGUGGCCACCCUGGUUCUUAAUUAAGGUUGUGAAAUAUUAUUGUAAAAGAUGAUUAAUUCAAUUUGAGUCAUUCGUUUGCUUUGAUAAUGAUAGUAAUUUUAUAUUUUGACAAUUUGCAAGGUGAGAAUGGUGCUGAUUGGUGAUACAGGAUACGGUUCAAACACCAUUGAAUAAAGCUACGGACAUGGUGGCUCAACUUAGCUAUUGCUGUCAAAAUUGGUAAGUUGGCUUGUCAAUGUAUUGAUGCUUUUGUUUUCUCUCAACCCUAAUUACCUUACCUUCAUUUAGUUUGGCUUUGGAGUUGAGUAAUAACUUUCAAGGUUCUCAAACAGAGCAGGACAACCGAAAAAAAAAGCUUAAUUUGCUACUGAUCACGUGUUACCAAUUAUUAAGGUAAUUCUCGUUUACUUGCUUCUACACUAUAGAGUACGUGUUCUGGCUGGUUUAUCUAAUUCAUCAAAUGUUAUUUCCUUAUUGUUCCAUUGAUAUAUUUGUUAGAAAGUGAAACCAUUUCCAGGCAGCAGUUGGCAGUGAAUUCAUGCAAAUGUUGAUGCCAUUCAUAGAUAUUGAAGACAAUGAUGAGCCAAAGGUGAUAAAUCAUUAAUGCAUAGUUACCAAAACCUCCAUCCUUCUCUCAUUGUAAUUUGAUUUGAAAUGAAUAAUUUCUAGGUAAUUGAAGCCAAUAUUGUUAGAAACGGUGUUGAGCUACCCAAGCUAAGAAGUUGGCUGCCAAAAAAUGCAGGGGAUCAAAAGAAGCAUUGCAUUUGAAAAGGAAUGAGAUUCUGGUUGCUACAUGUCAAUUCGUAGAAGUUUCAAUAAAUUUAAUGGUUCAAGAUUUUAGUUUCUGUUUAAAUUUGUGCUACUGCAGUGCUGCAGUGCUGCUACUGGGAAAUUUAAAUCCCAUAUUAGACUUUCCUCACAUAAGAAGCUGUGGAUCUUCGGACAUCAGGUUUUUUCACAGUUCUGAAACUCUCAGGAUUAAACUCUAUUAAAGUUGUUGUAGUUGUCUACGUUCUCAGGUCAAGGAUUCUAAGCUGCCGAUUAAGGCAAAAUGUCAGAAUUCCCCUAUUAUUUUUUUUUUCAUGUAAAAUUAUGUUGUUGUCUUCGCCCAUGAAUCUUAGCUAAAUUCUGAACCAAUUGUUUGCUAUUAUAAAUUUCAUUGUUAAAUAUUAAUUGUGAUGUUGGUGUUGAGUUUCUUUUAAAGUCAGAGAAGCCUGACGAUUGAGUUCCAUGGGAUUCUGAGAAGCAGUAAUAUUUUGAACAAGUGAAGGUUCUUCGUUUUUACAGUAUGUGCAGAUGUCUAAGAGGCAGGAUUUUUAUUUCUGUAAUGCUAAAUUUCGCAAAACAAUAAAAAUAAAUAAAUGCAUGACAGUGACUUCAAGAAUUUAGAUUAUUGAAUUUGGUCAUUUUAAAAUUGUUGGAAUGUUGAACUUAAGUAAUUUUUAUAAACCAGAGCUCAGAAAUGUAGAAUAUAAAUAUUGGAGAUUUGGACUUCAAUCAUUAGACUUGAAGCUAAAGAGGUAAGCCAUUAAUUAUAUCAAAGGAUUUGGAAAAUGGAGGGAUUGGAAAAAGGAAACAUUUUCAUAAACUUCAAGAGGAACGUCACAGAAAGGGGUAAAGAGAAGAGUAGCCUAAGAUAUUAAAGACAAUGUUGAGCCAAAGGAAACAUAAAUCCCAACCAUUGCAUGUGAACAUGAUCACAAUAAGGUCAAAAACCAUUUUUUUGAGAAUUUUCAAUUGAAAGUGAAACCUUUUGACAUUUACCUAGUAAAGUUAGUUAAACGAGAGAAAUAAAGGGGAAAAGAAAAGUUGACUCAAGUCAAUACAGAAUAAUUAGUUCAAUCUGGAGUAACUAAAACAGAGCCACUAUAUUUUCAAAAAUAUCUGCAUUCAUCACCUUCUCCUCCAGCUAGUGAGCUACACACGAAUCCUUUCCUUUUAGCAUUUUUGCAGCAUCAAUUUCUCCCCUCGUUUGUCAUCAAUUUCUCCCUUCGUUUCACCAAUACCAUGGCUGAUGCAAUCGUUUCCCCUCUCUUGGAGCAGCUGAUUAUCUUUGCUGCUGAAGAGUUGAAACAACAGGGGAAGCUGGUGAGUGUUGGAUGAGUGGAUCACAGCAUGCGCCAAAUCGCAAAAUAGAUCAAUGCUCUUGGUGCUCCUUAUCUGAAGAAGAAGGUGCAAAUUGGGAGCUGCAUUUCACUGUCAUAACAUUUAUUGUAAUUUCAUUUGGAGAUAUGUAAUAUCUGUUGUCCAGAUACAUAUCAUACACCAGUUGCUAUGUAAUUUCGUUUAGGUUCAUUUUUGUUUCUUAAGAGUUUGUAAAAAGAAUGGAAAGAUUUUAAAAUAUAAAUUUCAUAUCUGUUUAUUACUGUUGUUUGGUCUAAUUUCUUAUGUAGAAUUUUCAGAAUCUGUAGGACAUUAGUUUAUAAUUUUGAGAUUUUGCAGCCAUAAAAAAAAUUUUUUUUUUUUGCCAUUUUAUUUUGCUCCUUUAUCUAUGUGCAUGUUGACUGGCUGCAGUGAGUGAAAAUUUACCUAUAUAUGCUGGCUAUUCUUGGACAAUAUUAGAGAAAAUAAUCAUAUUAUUUCGCGUGAUGUGAACUUCCAUAACUUAUCAAUUGAAUUGCUGUAAAAUAUUAAAUAGUUUUAUUUUUCUUUUAUCGUGUAACUUGGACCAAAAAAGGAAAUGAGUUUAACACGACCCUCAAUAUAACCUCCAUUUCAGCACAAUACAUGUUAAUUGUUCCCCAAGGACUUCUCCUGUUUCCCAUUCCCACCUCCAUGCUCUCGAGAGGAAUUUAGCACCCAUCAAUUUUUAUUUUUGAAAACUCGUAAUGGUCUGAUAAAAUUAAACAACAUCAAUAAUGUUACCAGUCUUUAAAUAGUAAUUAAUUUAUUUAAUUUGCCACCUAAAAGAAUCCUGCUGGAAAUAGAGGUUAAAAAUUUUAUUAGAUCUGCUUACCUUUGUUCAUUCAGCAAAAACACUUACAAUUCACAGCUAGAGAAUCUAUCCAUUGACAAUUGUGGAUUAAAAUUAUAACACCUGAAUUCAAACAUAUCCUUAUGAAGUUAUGAAUUUGUUCAUACUUCAAAUGAUUUUUUUUUCCAAGCUAAUAAAGCAACCACUUUGAUCAAACGACGACGUUGAAGGAAUUACGUAUUUUCAAUGUCCUUUUCCAGACAGAUGUUGGAGAGAGGGAAAGGAGAAGACUGGCCUAAUUAAGAUAUCUCACAAAGAUUAUUGAGUUAAAAUGUUAUUGUAAAAGAUGUUUAAUACAAUAAUAGUAAUUCUUUUGCAUUGUUAUAAUGAGGCUGGUGGGUUUCCUCAGAGGAUGGAUAUGGCUCGCUAGCAUGCAUUUGGGAAGAUGCUAAUUAUCGGCCAUAAAAAGUCAGGGGGUUGUGGCUCUUCCGUCGCCCAGAAAUUCCUAAACUCAUAUAUCAAACUUCAGAUGAACUUGGGCAUUAUGUAAAUAUGUAUUUUUGAGAAUUAAACUAGUGCGUUCGAAAAAUUUUGAGCCAUUGUAAUCAUUUUAUUUUGCUAAGAGAAAAUUUUACUUUGUUUCGCUUUGCCUUUUGUUUUUUCUGUGAUAAUAUGAUUCAUACGAAUGUGAUUACACACUAUCAUGCAUCUAUUUUCAUUUGCUUGUCAUGAAUGGUCAACAUGCUCGAAAUAUUUACUUAGGUUGGAAAUAUUUGAAUCCACUAAAAUACUAUACAAACCCAUUUUAAAAUUAAAAAAAUGAUUAUCAUAAUACUCGUGAAGAUAACACGAUAUCAUACAUAAAAUAAAAUAUUUCGCAAAAAAGAUAAGAUACAAAUCUUGAGUAAAUAGGUACAAAAAAUAUUUUAGUGGGUUAAGUAGCACUAAUGCCCCCUUAUCAAAAAAUAAAUAAAAAUAACUAGUCUGAUUGGGUAUACCGUUUAUAUAUAUGUACAUAUUCUUGAUAAUGUGUAAUGUACAUUAUAGACAAAGAUUUUGAAAGCAAUAUUUUUUAAAAAGUCGAGAGAAUAGGAAAAGUCUAAAUCAAUUUUCUAAUCUCUACCUCCUUUAUGAUUUAAACUUUAGUGUUUAGUGUCGCGAGCCACUCAAAUUUUCUAAUCAAAGAGACUAAAUUGCACGAAAUUGUGCUAGCUUAUUUGAUUCUAGAAAUUUCUACUACACUGUAACACACUCUCACGUAGGGAUGGCAAUGGGGAGGGGAGGGGAGGGGACCAAUCUCCCCAUAUCCAUCCCCGAUAUUUUACAUAUGUCCCCGUCCCCGUCAGAAUUGCUUGAGAGAAUCCCCAUCCCCUCCUCGAAUAAUAACAGGGGAUCCCCGAGGGUCCCCGGUCCCCGAAUAACUAAUAAUCUAAUACAUUUUUUUAUUUUCGAUUUUAAAUUAAUCAUAUUAAAAUAAACUCAUACCGCUAUUGUAAGCUCGUAACCAAUUUUGACAGCACAUUAAGGCCUCCAAUGUGCUUGGAUGAAGUCUGUUAUGGUAUGGGCUCACAACUCUACCACUAGUGUUAAAAGCUGAUUCAGAAGCAACUGUUGUAAUUGGAAUUGCCAAAAUAUCUCUAGCAAUUCGAGCUAAUGUAGGAUACCUAUUAGCAUUUGUCUUCCACCAACUCAAAAUAUUAAAAUCUUCCAUCCGAGGUAUAACUUUCUCAUCCAAAUAUGAAUCUAAUUCAUCUGCAACAACUGCACAAUCUCCAUUGUUUACAUAAUCAUCAAAACCUAUCAUCCAUUUGGUUGCUUUCUUAUAAGAAUCCCCUGUAGAUCUAGUAGAAGAACUACUACCAGUAUAAUCAAAGCAAUAAACAGUUGGUGAAAACUUCAAUUAAUACUCUUCAACUAAUUCCCGGCAAAGGAUGACCACUUUCCCAACAUACAACUAUUUUGAUAUUUAUUAUUUUUAACAAUAUUUAUAAUUUUGUUAUUUAUUUAUUAGUAAUUUUAAAAAUAAAAAUAAAAUUAAAAAUUAAAAUGGGGAAAUGGGUAGGGGAUGGGGAUUCCACCUCAUCCCCGUCCCCUCCCCGAAUAAAAAAUUGGGUAAAAAAUUUUCCCCGUCCCCUCCCCGAAAAAAAAAUUGGGUAUAAAAUUAUCCCCGUACCCUCCCCGAAUGGGGAAAAUCCCCGAGGGUAUCCGUCCCCGUGGGGAUUUUUGCCAUCCCUACUCUCACGCUUGUACAUACCUCGAAAUUCUCUAGAAUUUACUAGAGUAGUGUUGCAUGUAGCUUGUACAUAGGUUUUUCUGGAACACUCCAGGCAUUACUAAGCAUGAGAGCCUUGAGAACUCUCUAGCCAUAAAACAUUCUAGGGUAAGCCUACCCUAAAAAUAGGGCAUGAUGCUUGCCACUUGAGCAUACAACAAGUAAGAACAAAUCAAGCAUACUUGUGAGCUCUCAAACUCUCUUAUACACACUUUUAUGAAUAAUAUAUUCUCUCUUUGGCUAUAUUGCUCUCUCUUCUCUCUAGUUUUUUUCGCAAGCAUCAAACCUUAGUUAGUCGAAAAAUUCAAGGCUUACUUUAUAGCUAUCUCGUAAAAGUUGUUUAAGUACCAUAGAGAUUUGCUGUGCAAAAUACUCAUCACAUGACAUUAGCUAAAUAAAAUUGUUUGAAAGCCACUUACCCAAACUAUUAAACGAAUAUUGACUUUUGUCUUAAUUUUCUAUCUCCUACGAUAAAUUUUAUAGUUAAAAAUUGAAAAAAAUUAAUAACUAUUAGAUAGAGCAUUCUUUAUUGUUAAAAGAAAUCUAUAUAGAUAGAUAGAUGGUAAUAUAAAAACUUACUUAUUGUAGUAUAAUGUUUUUAGUUUUUUGAAACACAGAUUCUCACUUUUUAAAGAUAAAAUUCAAAGAAAACAAGUUAAAUGUUGUAGAAAAUCUUCCAGCCAUACAAGAAAUUGUGAUGGCUAAAUGCAAACCUAACUAAAGUAUUAGUUGUUUUAUUACAAUCUCCAAAAAGAUGAGCAAUUCCAAAAUCUUUUUUUGUGACAAUAAACACUACACGUCAGUAAUUAUCCAGGUCAAAAGCAAGCUACUCUAUUAAAAAAAAAAAAAACUUGCAGUGAAUUCGAAGAUAAACCAAUUUUACUAGCAAGUUGGAUACAAAAGAGUAGGGCUUCGGCCUCAAUUACUCAGUGUACCAACAACUCAAUCUCGGUGAGUUAAAAUCAACUUCCAUCAGUCUUUUAUUUGUUGAUAGAUCGAUUAAGGUACCAAAAAGAAUAAUUAAAGAUGUAUUAGUUCAAGUUAAUAAAUUCAUAUAUCUUGUGGAUUUUAUUAUUUUGGAAACUGAACCAAUUGCUAAUGAAUGCAAACAAAUUCCUGUUACAUUGGGUCGUCCAUUUUUAACUACUGCUAAUACAUUGAUUAAUUGCUGGAAUGGAGUAAUGAAUUUAUCUUUCGGCAACAUGACAUUGGAACUUGAUGUGUUCAACAUAUGUAAACAACCUCACCACCAGGAAGAUGAUGAUAAUGAGAAUUAGGAGAUUGAUUUCAUCGAGCCAAUCAUUGAGGAACACAUUCAGAAUAAGAAUUUUACAAAUUCUGUGGAAAUUUAUUCUUCUUGUUCUUUUGAAUCGAGUAAAGAAUUAAAUUAUGAUACUGCUAACAUAUAACCUACAAUUGAUUCUAUGCAGGUACAUGCUGACAAUGGCCAAUCAAACUUUAAAGAUACAGAACAACCUGAAGAACCAAACGAAGAGCAAGUACCAGAGCUCAAAUUAAAGCCCUUACUGGAAGAAUUGAAGUAUGUCUAUCUUGGAGAACAACAGAUUUAUCCUGUGGUAAUUUUUUUCCCAACUCACGCUUGAUCAAGAAGGUAAGUUGUUGUCUGUACUAAAAAGGCAUAAAACUGCAUUUGGCUGGACUUUAAAAGACAUAAAAAACAAUAAUUCUUUAAUCUGCACACACCGAAUACACUUAGAGGAAAAUACCAAAACAACCCAUCAACAUCGACAUUAUAUGUGUAAACAUUAAAUACCAAAAUCAACCCCAAAAACUAUAAAUAAAAUAUCAUGAUUAAAAUGAAGUUUUUUUUUAGAUAUUCGUUGUAGUAUCUCUUUAGAUCGCAAACAAGAGAUAAAAUAAAUAAAUAUUUGCUAUGUAAAUAAAAAUAAAUAAUUUUUUUUAACUGAAAAAUAUUCUCAAAAACUAAAUAGUUCAAACUUUUUUUAACAUCAUGUGUUUCUAGGGUUGGGCAUUCAGUUCGGUUUUUACCGAACCGAACAACUAAAUUAAAUCGAAAUUACCUGUUCGGUUCAAUUGAAUAGACAAAAACCGAAGAGUUUAUAUUUUCAUGAACUGAAUGAUUUGUGUUUCAGUUGAGUUCGGUUCGAUUCUGGACCUGAACCGAACCGAACCGAUCCGUGAAUCGUAAACUGCCCACCCUUACGUAGUAGUUUCCGUUAACCGACGUUGUAUUGCUCGUAUAAAAUUGUUCAAAUGUUCAAAUCACAGUCUCCCGCUCUCAGCUCAGUCAGAGUUUCCAGGUCCAGAGACUUCCCGCUGACUGAGAACUUUUUCGUAGCAGGUCUACAAAUAAUGGAGUAGAGCUGAUUUUAUGAUUAAUUUAUUUCCUUUUUCAAUUUCUCUUGAUUGCGAUUUAAUCUGGAAAGUUAAACGUGAAUUGUUUAGUGCGGAUUAAAUGUUCGACGAAUUUCCCACAAGAGUAUUAAGUUCAAGAGAAAAAAAGAAAACAAUUGAGCGUGAGCGUGAGCGAGAAUGGUGUUUGGGCAAGUGGUGAUUGGUCCGCCCGGCUCGGGAAAGACCACUUACUGCAAUGGCAUGUCUCAGUUUCUCAGCCUUGUUGGCAGGUAACUUCGUUUCUUGAUUUCAAGCAGCUUUAUCUUCGAUGACCAAAAAUAUUGAUUUGGGCUUUGCCAUUAAAUGAAUGUAAGAGCAGUAGGGAAUAACUGAGUUAUAGGAUUAGCUUUAAGUGAACAUUGAUGGUAAUGUGAAGGUUGUAUGUGUUCAGUGGCAAGCUGUAUGCCAAUUUGGUCUAUAUGGUUGCUUAGGUAGUAACUUAUUAAUUUUUAGGCAGGAAGGUUGCAGUCAUCAAUUUAGUUCCUGCUAAUGAUAGUUUGCCGCAUCCUUUGUCAUUGAACUUUCUUACAAAUGCUGUGGUUUGUUGUAGUAUAAUUAGUUCAAUUGGAAAUUUCCUUGAUGUUAAUAUAGAAAUGAGUGUGCUGUGAAUAUUGAGGACCUCAUUAGACUAAGUGAUGUGAUGAUGGAGUAUUCACUUGGUCCCAAUGGAGGUUAGUCAGCCUAUUGUUGUUUACUCUUUCUUGCUUUAUCACGCAAUGAUAUUCCUUUGCUUUACAACAAAUUUCAUGAAAUUAACUUCAAUCAAGUGGCAAUGUUCAUACGCUGUUGAGAUUUUAUGGACAAUGAUUUGGUAGAAUUUAUAUGCCGUCUUCUUUCUUUUUGCAGUGAUAUGCUUGUAUUCAAUGAGCUUGUACUUAUUCUAUGGUUUCUAAAGUAGGUGUUUUUAUGAUAAACUAGGUCUUGUGUAUUGUAUGGACUAUCUAGAGAAGAAUAUUGACUGGCUGCAGUCGAAAUUGGAACUACUUUUGAAAGGUAAGUAGAGGCCAUUUUCCUUCAUUCUAAUGCCAAUAAUGCUGUCAUGAGACUCAUAAAAAUUGUUAAAACGUUAAUGUUUUUGGUAUUUUGCAGAUCGUUAUCUUCUGUUUGAUUUUCCUGGCCAAGUUGAAUUAUUUUUUCUUCAUUCCAAUGCCAAGACUGUUAUAAUGAGACUCAUAAAUAAGUUAAAUCUCAGGGUAUUGUUACAUCUUACAUCUAUGAAGGGACUCAAAGAGUUGAGAUGAAUUCAUCUUUGUUAUUUUGAUGCCAGAAUUGUGCAAUUCUCAGUUUGUUCCUUUCACAUGCAGUUGACUGCAGUGCAUCUAGUUGAUGUGCAUCUUUGCAGUGACCCCAGGAAGUAUGUUAGUGCUUUGCUUCUCUCAUUGUCUACGAUGCUACAUCUGGAACUUCCCCAUGUCAAUGUCUUGUCUAAUCGAUCUGAUUGAGAAUCAUGGAAAGCUAGGUGUGGUUUUAAGUGUAGCUCUCCUGCUUGUUUGUUUAGUUUGAAAUAUCAGAUAUUGUCACAAGAUCCUAUUUGCUACAUUUCCUCACCAAUCAAUUAUUUUGGGUCUGUUGCAGCUUUUAAUCUCGAGUACUAUACAGAUGUGCAAGAUUUGUCAUAUUUACAGCAUGCUCUCGGUCAGGACCCUCGUUCUGCUAAGUACAGGUUUGAAUUCUAGCUGAAUCAAUGAUGCAAAUUAUGUCCAUUGUUAUUUCUGCUGUUGUUUCUAUCAUUUUCAAUUGUUACUUCCCCUUUCCAUCUACUACCACACUACAAUACCCACACAAAUGUUGUGAAAUUUGUCAAUGGAAAAAAAACAGUUCCUCUUUUAUUUUGAUCAGACUCAAUGAAUAAGUGGUUAAAAUGUGCCUGUCCUAGAAAUAUAGAUGUGUGGUUUCGUAAAAUUUUCUUGAUCUUAAGAAAGAGUUAUCUCGAAAAGAAGAUAACAUGGAGAAUUCAACAACUAUACAGUCAUAUUGAUGUCUGUCAACUUGGGUCAUAUGGUGUCGUUUGGAUGGAGAUGUUAGGUCCCAGAUGGUAAACUUGUUAUCGAAUUCCAGUCUACUUCAUUCAUGCUUUGAUGACAUAUACGGUGCAGCUUCUUAUCUAAGACCUGCAUAUGUUCAAUCAUCAUUCUGUUCUGUAUUUGGCUGCCAUUCUUUUCAAUGAAUUCAAACCACUUCUGAAUACUUGCAAAUUCAUCCAGUGUUGUCAUUGAGAUGCCAAUAUGAAAGGAAGCCAUAAUUGCCCUUGAUAGUAUGCUUAUUGAUUGCCUCUUGCCUCACUCAGCCUCAUGAAUCUGCUUGUAUGGUGUUCUUGUAAUUUCAUUUGGAGAUUAGUAAUAUCUGUUGUUCAAAUGUAUUUUAUAUACCAGCAGUUAAUAAUUCUGCUUGCAGAAAGCUUACAAAGGAGCUGUGUGAUGUAAUUUUUCAACCUUAGAUAUCCAGGUCAUCAGUUUCUCUUGAAUUCUUUCUUGAAUUUCUUUGAAUUAUUUGUGAAUAAGAUCUUAGUUGGCUGCUUCUCUUCAGGAUAAGGAAAGUGUGGCAAAACUCGUGAAGCUGAUAUAUAAAAGCAAUGGGUACAUCUUUGCUGGCAUGGAUGCCAGUGCAGUUGAAUUCAGCAAGAUUGCCGUUCGCGAUGUUGAUUGGGAUUAUUUCGGAUAUCCUUCUUUUCACCUAUUUUCAAUGUUGUUAUUCUCAUAUUCAUAAAAUUUUUUGGUUAUUUAAUUAUGGUUCAUCAUAUGCAUCUGCAUCUUCUAACUUGUUCGUUUGAGAAACUAAUUUUGCCGUUAGGUAGGCUUCGAGCUUGAUGAGUUGAUUCAUGCUUUUUUCAUAAAUGUACCAAAAUCAUGGAAACUUCUUUUUCCCAGAUAUUGUAUCCACACUUUUUCCAUGUAAUUGGGUCAGACAAGUUUUGCUUAACAAAGAUAUCUACAGUAGCCGAAGUGCAGGAGAAGUACAUUAAGGAUGAUGAUGAUGUUAACUAAAAUGAGACGUGAAGAUAUGUGGUGUGCGAACCGUAAGCCUGCCUCUUAAUUUUGUGCAUGUUUACUUGCUUGUGAUUCACGUUUGUUAAUCUAUUUUGCUCUCUUGCAGGAGUUAUAAAGUUUUCAAUCAAUCAAACAUUUAACUUAAGUCCUUACCUCUUGCUGCAAAGACAAUGGGAAGUCUCAUGAGCUCUAAAAAAACUGAAGAAGAGUGGAAAAUAAUUUUAAAUAGUGAUUUAUGGAAGGUAAAAGAGAUCGAGAAAGGUGUUCUAACCCCUUUGUGGUUGAGUUAUAAUGAUUUGCCGUCCAGAGGAAAAAGAUGUUUCUCGUAUUGUGCUGUCUUUCCAAAAGACUACAAUAUAAAAAAAGACAAAUUAAUUACUUUGUGGAUGGCUCAAGGUUAUCUUAGUGCAGAAGCAGCAGAACAAGAUGAGGAGUUGGAGACUAUAGGUGAAGAGUAUUUUGGCAUCUUAGCUUCUCGCUCUUUCUUUCAAGAGUUUCAGAAACGUUAUGAUAAUCGUAUUAUAGCGUGCAAGAUGCAUGAUAUGGUACAUGAUUUUGCCCAAUUUGUUAGUCAAAAUGAAUGUUUUUCGUUGGAAGUUAAUGGUAGUGAGGAACUAACCGUCACAAACUCUACAAACUCUCUUGAUGAGAAGGUCCGUCAUUUAAUGUUAAUCUUUAGUAAAGGGACUUCAUUACCUGUUUCCACUCGUAGAGUUAAAAGAAUGCGUACCCUCUUAAUUAACGAUAGUAGAUCUGAUCAUUCAUUAUUAAAUGGUGAGAUCCUAGAAGAAUUAUUUAGGGAAUUGACAAGUUUAAGGGCAUUAGAUUUUGGCAAAUCGUAUAACUCAAGUUGGUCUUCGACUGUGGAGAUUCCGAGAACCAUAGAAAAGCUGGUACAUUUAAGAUACCUUAAUUUGUUUUAUCAGGGAAUAAAGAAACUACCGGAGACAUUAUGCGAGUUGUAUAAUCUAGAAAAGUUAGAUAUUAGUUUAUGUUUUAAUCUUAAAGAAUUACCUGAAGGGAUUGGGAAGUUAAUAAACAUGAAGCAUUUACGAAAUAGAGGUACUAGUUCUUUAAGGUACAUGCCAGUAGGGAUUGGGAGAUUAACGGGUCUCAGGACCUUGGAUGAGUUCCACGUGAGUGGAGGAAAGCGUGUAGGCUUGAAUCUCUUAAAAAAUUGGAACACCUUCAAGUAUGUGGUAUACGUAGACUGGGUGAUGUAUCAGAUGUGGGCGAGGCUAAGCGAUUAGAACUUGACAAAAAGAAAUACCUCUUCAGUUUGACCCUUGAGUUUGAUAAGAAGGAGGAAGAAGAAGGAGAAAGGAGGAAGAACGAGGACGAUCAAGUUCUUCUUGAAGCCCUACAACCACCUCUCAAUUUAAAGGAAUUAGAGAUAGAGUACUACCGAGGCAACACUGUUUUCCCCAGCUGGAUGACGUCAUUAACCAACUUAAAGAGUUUAGAUCUCUCUUCCUGCGAAAAUUGGGAGCAGCUGCCUCCUUUGGGAAAAUUGCCAUCCCUUGAAGCACUCAGCCUAUGGGACAUGAAGUGUGUGGAAAGAGUGGGUGAUGAAUUUUUGGGGAUAGAAAGUGAUCAUCAUGGCUCAUCUUCAUCGGUUAUUAUUGCCUUCCCCAAAUUGAAAUCACUUUCAAUUGAGGUUCUGCGCGAAUUGGAGGAGUGGGAUUAUGGGAUUACAAGAACGGGAAACACCGUCAUCAACAUCAUGCCACGUCUUUCUUCCUUGACAAUUGCACUUUGCCCCAAAUUAAAGGCACUGCCCGACCACUUUCAUCAAACGACAACAUUGAAGGAAUUGCACAUUUGGGAUUGCAGGCUUCUGGAAGAACGUUAUUGCAAGGGGGAAGGAGAAGACUGGCCUAAGAUAUCACACAUUCCCAACCUCCAUAUUGGGCUUUGACAAGUAAUUUCUUCUCUUACUCUGAUUUGCUUUGUUGUUGUUUUUAAUCUAAUUAAGAAGCGUAAAUAGCAUUUUGAAUCAAACUCUAUAUCAGAAAUCUGCAAUACUUACUUUCUAAUAUUCUGAUUUUCAUAUCCUAUGAAUAUACGAUUUUUAAUUUGUGAGAUGGGUAACGUUACUGUAAAAGAUUAUUAAUGCAAUAUGAGUAAUUCUUUUGCAGGACAAGUGACCUACAUUUAGUUUGGCUUUGGAGUUGAAUAAUAACCUUUCGAGGUCCCGACAACCAAAAAACGAAGCUUAAUUUGCCACAGAUUGCACGUAUUGCCAUUAUUGACAAUUUUCUGCACAAGCUUAGGUUGAUGUCAAAAGAGGUAAAUUAUUGGCAUGCCUGACUAUUUUGACCAUUACACGAUUCAUAAGUUUACAUUAAUUUUGAUUUUGAGUUGAGUGAUUAGUUUUCUAGGUUUGCUUACUUUAACUGGGUGACCAAUUUCUUGUAACUAAAUGUAUGAUGUGAAGCAGAACUCAAACAAAAGUAUGCUACUUCUUGCGGAAAUCUUGCCUUUGUUCAGAUUAUGAAACCAUUUCCAUGCAGCAAAUUCAUCCAAAAGUUUGAAUAAGUUUCACGGUUGGACACUGUUGGUUUCUUUUUCUUCUGGGGUGCAUUUAGGUGCUAUCAAGUGACAGCUGUAAGUAUGAUUGCACUAAGCUGCCGCUGGGAAAUUUGAGGUUUUGAUGGCUGCCCAUGUUAUUUUCAAGAAACUAUUGAUGUAAGAAGCUGUGGUUCUUUUCAUCAGCUUGAACCUGAAACUGUCGCUAUGGAUAACUCAGGUUUUUGUUAUCAACUAUAUCAUCUUUUUCACUAUUUUGAAACUCUUAAGAUUAAACUUUAGUAAAGUUGUUUCAGCUUUUCAAAUGAAAAACUCAUUGAUUUGAGACUUCCUUCAUUAUUGUUUCUAAUUACAAUGCUAACGAUCCAGAUAAGAUAAUAUUUAAUCGGCGAAGGUGUCCCUUGGAAGUACAUCCUUCUUUUUCUUUUAUUAUACAAAUUCUUGCAAUGAGCUUAGUGAAGCUGUUGUGCUAAUCAUGCCACUGCAUAAUUUGGCCCCUAAUGUGGGUACUCUGUUACAUUGUUCUGCAAAUUCUCCAGAAGUUAAAAUCAAUAAAUUUUCUAUUAGCUCUAGUGCUUUGACCUAAAUGCUAUUCUAUAUUCUGAUUACAAUGUUUUACCUUUAAAUUAACUACCCCUAGAUGUUGGAUUUUCUAGAACUUCAAAAUGAUUAAUGGAGAAAGAUCCCAUUAUCGUUAUUGCUAUAAAAAAUUGAUUUAUGCAUCCAAAGAUACAUUAUAUAUUUCUGUGUCUCUAUUUAUAGAUGACAUUUAAGCAUCCAUAAACCGUCAGACAGAGGAAGGGGGUUCAGUGCAAAGAUUCUGUUGACCUAGGGUUGACUGCAUAAUGUCACUUGUUCGCAAUCUAUUAUUCUUUUCAAGGUCUGCUUCCUUAACGGAGCGACCAAUGUUUUUCAACUAAAUUUAUCAUAUGAUGCAGGAAGCAGGGCAGGAUAUGAAAUGUGAAGCUCAUUGGUGGAAGUAUUGCCAGUAACAGAACCCAAAGAAAAUGAAACUAUUUCAAGGCAGCAGUUGGCAGUUGCAAGUGAAUGGAGGCCCUUGACAAAAUUCUCAAGCGGUUGCAAUGCAAUUACGAUCAUCCUCAGCCUCAGGUAAUUUCUUCUCCUGCUUUGUAUUUAUUUGUUAUCUAAUUAGGAACCGUAAAGUAUCUUGAAUCAUUUUCUGUAUCUGGAAUAUAUGCAAGAGUUUCUAAAAUUUUGAUAUGAGUGUAAUGAUGGUAAUUUCUGUUUUCUGUCUGUCAUCAAAUGUUAGAAAACUUUCAUUGAGACCCUUGAACCGAGUCAUUUUUGACAAGUGAAGUGCUGAAGAGUGAAGAGUAAGAAUGGUGCUAGAUUGGGGAAUAAAGCAAAAGGAGGUAAAUUAUUGGCAGCUUCUUCAACCUUAUUUUCUUUGGACCAGUGCCUAAUUCACAAGUCUCCAUAAUUCGGCUUUUGACCAGUUGAUAGAUAAAAUUUUAAUUUCAUUGGUGCUAAUGUACCCGUGAGGCAGGCAGAGAAGGACUGUGGAAAAGAGAAGGUUUUUAGUGAAAGCUUAAACUCAGGUAAUUCUAAAAAUUAUAUGUUUUGGCUGAUUUAUCUAAAUCAGGAAAUUUUAUUUCCAUCUGUUACAAUAAAACAGAAACAGAACACAAAGAAAAAUAUUCUACUUCUUGUGGCAAUCUUGCCUUCAUUCAGACUAUGAAACCAUUUCCUUUCACCAAUUUCUUCCAAAAGUUUGAACACAUUUCAUGGUUGGACAUAGUUAGCUUCUUUUUCUUUUGGUGCAUUUAGGUGCUAUCAAGUGACAGCCGUAAGUAUGAUUGCAUUAUUGGGAAAUUUUAGGUUUUGAUGGCUCCCCAUGUUAUUGCCAAGAAAUUUUAAGUCCUCGUGUCAGAAGCUGCGUUUCUUUUCAUCAGCCUGAACCCGAACCUGUCACUAUGGAUAACUGAGGUUUUUGUCAUCAACUAUAUCAUCUUUUUCACUGUUUUGAAACUCUUAAGAUUAAACUUCAGUAAAGUUGUUUCAGUUAUCCAUGUAAUCAGGCUAAGGAUAUUUAGCAGCUUAUUUAGGCAACUGCCAGAAUUCAGUUUGUUCGCUCGAAACUUGUAUGGUGACAAGGAUACUGGCAAGGAUAGUGAGAUAGUUUUUUGUGUGAGUGAAUUUUGAAAGCUUGGGUGUUCUGGGAUUUGCAAUUGCAAUCAUCCUCUGCUUUAGGUGAUUUCUUCUCCUGUUCUGUCUUUAUUUUCUCUCUAAUUGAAAGCAUUUCAAUCAAAUUCUGUACCAGGAAUACGAAAAAUUUACCAAUAUUUUAUUUCCAUCUGUUUGCAUUGAUAACUUGGCCGCAUAUGUACUAGUUAAAGAACAAACAGAAGCAGAGUUCAGGAAAAAGUUUCUUCGGCCACCAUAUUUGAAAAUGAAACCAUUUCCAGGAAGCAGUUGGCAGCAAAUUCAUACAAAGUAUAGACAAUGAUGAACAAAAAGGUGAUUCGCAAUUUCAUUUUUUUAAAAUGAAAUUAUUUGUUAAGUUGGAGCUGAUAUUGUUAGAAGGCCAUUGAGCUAACCUCUGACACUGCUUGCCUAGAUUGCAGGAGGUCAAGACUCAAAAGAUGCACUGAAUUUUAAAAGGCAUGCAAUAAUUCUUAUGGCCAUUUGUCAAUGGUGGAAUGCUUUUAGCUUCUUUUCCUUUUGUGCAUUUUGGGGUUCUAUCAAGCGACAGCCGUAUGUAUGGAUGGAUAUAGCUGCUGCGUUGAUUUCUAAUGCAUUGUAUGAUGUUAUAGCAACUAUCCAUCUGGUCAAUGUUUCAAAAGAAUAAGACAGGGAAAAAGAGAAAGCAAGUGGCCAAUCAAGUUGCAUCAACCAAAUUGUUGUUAAACAAGUAAAACAAAGAAAGAGAGUUAAGGAAGCUGACCUUGUAGUAGGGGAGCUGAAGAAAGGCUGCCAGUGAAUGUAAGAGAAAAUAAAAUGCAAGAAAUGGUGAAGUGCAGCUUUUCAUGUCAACUUGAAAUUGAUUUUUCUGUUUGUUUUUUUUUUUUUGUAAUCUUUUGGAUUUUUCAAACAAAGAAAAUGAGGAGCAACCAGGGAGAUAAAAAGGGCGCCAAGGCAACUGUGUGUUGGGUUUAGAGCCAAAAAUAAAUAAAUAAAUAAAUAAGACAUCGUGUUCUUGUGGAGACCAGACCUAUUACGUAACGUCCCCUUCAAUACCACUUGUUCCGUAUCUGGUUUUCUCUUCGUCGUUUACAUAUUUAUCCUGUGAUUUUACAAUAACUAAAUAAUCCCCGCAUAGUUUGCAAUUUUAUUCAUUUGGGCCCUACAGAUUUCAGUAAUAGGAAUUAUUAAGGGACAAGAGCGCAAAACAGAAACUCUGUCCACUACUGAUGAUAUAAUAACGAACCUUUGUUUUUUUUUUUUAAAAAAAAAAAGAGUAACAAAAUAUCAUUAGACAAAUGAAAAUAUUAUCUAACAUCACCUAUUCACCUUACUGAUGAUAUGAAAAUAUGUAUGUAUGUAUGUAUGUAUGUACAUAUAUACAUACACCUAUGUAACAUUUACUUAUACAUUCUUUUGAGUUUAAAUCUUAAUACAACUACAUACAACCACAUCAAUGUAUAUAUUUUUUACAUAAGACAUGCCGUCCUAUUAUUCAUAAGUAAACAAUGUGCCGUAAAUAGUAUUCUGUGUUUUCUCAAAGUUGACUUUUCGUCUUUUAUUUUCAGACGCAGACGCUAUGUCAUUUUGUAAUCGUCCGAACAUAUACAGAGCAGAAUUGGUGUUAUCUGAUUUUGUGAUGCAAUAAGAUUUGCACUUCCUGUGCAUUCAAUGGAAUCAUGCCACGCUAGUAGACAAUAUGCUAGUUUGAACAAACUUGUUUGAAUGGCAAAAACGACAUGACCUGCUGUAGUAUUAAUUCUUUCCCGAACCAACGGGUGAUUUGCUACGUUGGAUCAUGAAAAUUAACCAAAAUAAAAAUUCUUAAGGAAUUAGUUAGUUAAUUGAUUGAUCGAAUUUAAUCUAAAUUUGAAAAUGAUAAGAUAAAUUUAAAUUUAUUAUUAUUAUUAUUAUUAUUAUUUUAAAGUGGGUGGGUUUAUACAAUUUGAGCGGUGGAAAUAUCACUGCUGAAUUAUUAAAUAUACAGUGUAAAAUUUUGACCUUUAAAAUAUUCCCUUUUUUUUUUUAUUUAGCACUAUAAGUUUAAAAAUUUAACAUUUUACCUCAAUAAUUAAAUACUUUUAACUUUAAUCUUCAAAUAUUUACCCUACAACAUUUGGACCUAAAUUUUUAAUCCGACUCGGCCCCUGACCCAAGUGGGAAGAAGAUCAGGCUUAUAAGUUAUAACUAUCACCAACAUAACAUCUUCUGGAAAAUAAUAAGAUUACUCACCUGCAAUUAUGUGAUCAAACUAAUGGUAAGCAAAAUAGAACAGCGUUAUUUCAGUCCCCUUUCAGUUUCUUUAUCAUUUUUCUUUUCCUAUUUAUAAGCUUAAUUCGGUUCAAAAUCGGCUAAUUCACUUUGAUUUCACUUUUCUUUCUUUCGGUUCAAAAAAAUUGAACCCAUUGGCUGUCAAUUCAAUUUUGUUGAAAACCAACUUUGCCUGAAUUUAAGUAAUAAUAGAGGAAAAAAAAAGAGUACUUAGCAGAAGAGAUUUCUCAUUUUUUUCUCAUUCAAACUUCUAAAAUAAAAGAAAAAAAAACAAGAGUAAUUGUUAAUUAUCAAAAUUUUGUUUAUACUAUUCCACCAAGAAAAUUAUACAAAAAAAAAAAUUUUAAAAAUUGGAGAAGAAAUAUGAGGUGAAAUACGUGGAUGGCUUAGACUAAUAAUGUGAACAAAUUCCUCUUGGAAGCAUGUCAUUGUUCAUCCGGACAACACGCGGCGAUGAGAUUCGAGAAUAAAAGGAUAGGAAUCAACUGUAACCUCAUAAACAAAUGGCCUUGGAGUUGUAACCAAAGCUUUUAAUUAUUGAUCAUUAAGAUCGAUAUAAAGUAUCACGAAAUGAUGUGUACGACGACAAUAUCAAUAGCGUAGUGUGAAGACCUGGCUGUAAACACAAGGCUCGGCAGAUUAAUUAAACAAGAGUAUCCGAAUUUUCUAUGAUAAUCUCUAGGAAACGAUCAGCUAUAAUGUACGAAAUUAAAAUAUUGCAUAUAUUUUUGAAUUUUUGAACUCAUGCAUUAAUUUAAAAAAUUAUAUCGUAUUAUAAUUUAUUCACAAAAGAAAGAAAAAUUCACUAAUCAAGUGAAAUCGUAUUCUUAUUGAAAUGAAUUCCAGUAAUUGGAUAAAUAUAAGUAUUUCUUCCGUUGUAAUUUUUGUUUAACAGAAAAUCUAUUUGAGAUUUUGUGAGAAGAAACUCAACAAUAAAGUUUGAUAGACUUUGUGGAUAUUAAGAGUUUGACAAGUAAUUGAAAUCUGAAGUUUACUGAAAUUUACGAGCAAACAAACUGAAAUCCGAAGUUUACUGAAGUUUACUAUCAAGAGUUUCAAAACAGUGAAAAAGAUGAUAUAGUUGAUGACAAAAACCUGAGUUAUCCAUAGCGACAAGUAACAUACUGAAGUAAGCCGUUGGGAGCUGGCCUGUUCAUGGGCUAUUUUUCUCUGAUGAUCUGCAUUUUUCUUCCUUUUAAAGUGAACCUUGACUCGUAUCAAACCUGUCAAAAGAACAGUUCAUCAACUGAGCUGAGAUUUGCUUUCCUUUUUCAAAACCCACCUGAGAUAUUGUAAUUCCCAAAUUUCUCUCUCUCAGCUACACGAGCAAGCAGCCGCUUUUUCACUUCAUCGAAGAAGGUAAGCGAUUUAUCUAUUUCGUCCGAUUGAUUUCUUGUUUCGUUUUCAGUGUUCGGGUAAAUUAUUGGCAUGCCUGACUUUUUGACCAUUACAUGAUUCAUAAAUUUCUAUUAAUUUUGAUUUUGAGUUGACUGGUUACUUUUAUAGGUUUGUUUACUUUGACUAGGUGACCAAUUUCUUGUAACUAAAUUUAUGACGUGAUGCAGGAAGCUCGGCAGGAUAUGAAAUGAGAAUCUUAUUAGUGGAAGGAUUGCCAGUAACAGAACCCAAAGAAAAUGAAACCAUUUCAAGGCAGCAGUUGGCAGUUGGGAGUGGAUGGAGGCCCCUGACAAAACUUCAGUAAACUUCAGAUUUCAGUUUGUUUGCUCGAAACUUGCAUGGUGACAAGGAUACUGGCAAGGAUAAUGAGAUAGUUUUUGUGUGAAUGAAAUUACGAUCAUCCUCAGCCUUAGUUGUUAUUUGUUACCUAAUUAAGAAGCAUAAAGUAUCCUGAAUCAUUUUCGUUGUCUGGAACAUAUGAGUGUAAUGAUUGUAAUUUCUGUUUUCUGUCUGUCAUCGAAUGUAAGACAACUUUAUUAAGAUUCUUGAACCGAGUCAUUUUUGACAAUUGAAGGACAAGUGCUGAAGAGUGGGAAUGCAAAAAGUUUUGUUGUUUCUAGCCUUGUUUUCUUUGAACCAGCGCCUGAUGAUAUAACAGAAACAAGGCUAGAAACAACAAAAACUCUGUCCACUACUGAUGAUAUAACAACGAACCUUUGUUUUUUUCUUUUUUCUUUUUUUUUUUAAAAAAAGUAACAAAAUAUCAUUAGAGAAAUGAAAAUAUUAUCUAACAUCACCCUACUGAUGAUAUGAAAAUAUGUAUGUAUGUAUGUAUGUAUAUACGUAUGUAUGUACAUAUAUACAUACACCUAUGUAACAUUUAAUUAUACAUUCUUUUGAGUUUAAAUCUUAAUACACAUUUUCAUGAAAUUUUUAUUUUAUUAAGUAUACAACUACAUACAACUACAUUAAUGUAUAUAUUUUUUACAUAAGACAUGCCGUCCUAUUAUUCAUAAGUCAACAAUGUGUUGUAAAUAGUGUUCGUGUCUCAAAGUUGACUUUUCGUCUUUUAUUUUCAGACGCAGACGAUAUGUCAUUUUAUACACAGCAGAAUUGGUGUUAUCUGAUUUUGUGAUGCAAUAAGAUUUGCACUUCCUGUGCACUCAAUGGAAUCAUUUCUUUGUAACUAAUUGGGUGCUGGAAUGGUGGUCAAAUCUCGAACGAAGACAGAUCUAUCAAACUCCAGAAUUGGUGUUAUCUGAUUAAUUGAUUGAUCGAAUUUUAUCUAAAUUUGAAAAUGAUAAGAUAAUUUUGAAUUUAUUAUUAUAAUUAUUAUUUUAAAGUGGGGUGGGUUUAUACAAUUUGAGCGGUGGAAAUAUCACUACUGAAUUAUUAAAUAUACAGUGUAAAAUUUUGACCUUUAAAAUAUUCCCUUUUUUUUUUAUUUAGCAUCUAUAAAUUUAAAAAUUUAACAUUGUACCUCAAUAAUUAAAUACAUUUAACUUUAAUCUUCAAAUAGUUACCCUACAACAUUUGGACCUAAAUUUUUAAUCCGAUUCGGCCCCUGAUCCAAGUGGGAAGAAGAUCAGGCUUAUAACUAUCACCAACGUAACAUCUUCUGGAAAAUAAUAAGAUUAUUCACCUGCAAUUAUGUGAUCAAACUAACGGUAACCAAAAUAGAACAGCGUUAUUUGAGUCCCCUUUCAGUUUCUUUAUCAUUUUUCUUUUCCUAUUUAUAAGCUUAAUUCGGUUCAAAAUUGGCUAAUUCACUUUAAUAAGUUUAUUGGUUUGAACGCUGUUAGCUUCUUUUCCUUUCGUGCAUUUUGGUAUGCAACAGUUCUUGCCUAUGACACUGCUUGCCUAGAUUGCAGAAGGUCAAGGCUCAAAAGAAGCACUGAAUUUUAAAAGGCAUGCAACAGUUCUUGUGCCAUAUGUCAAUUCAUGCAAGUUUGAAUAAGUUUUUUGGUAUGCUAUCAAGUGACAGCCGUAUGUAUGGUUUGCAUAUAGCUGCUGCUGGGAAAUGUGAGGAUUUCAUGGCUGGCCGUGUUAUUGUCUUAAAUUAGAUGUGAUAAGCUGUUGCUUGGUGAUUCUGUUGCCAAGAAUUUGCUCACAUCAGAAGCUGUGGAACCUGAACCCUUCUCUAGAUAUCAUCUUUUUCAUUGUUUUAAAACUCUCAGGAUUAAACUUGAGUAAUUUUGUUCGGUUGUCUAUAUAAUCAUGUAUUGAGUAAACUCUCAGGAUACUGAGCAGGCAAAUGCCAUAACUCGGUUUGUUCUUCAAAAACUUGUUUAAGAUUCUUGACAAAGCUGCAUGAAGUGAAUCUUGGGAGCUUUGAGGGUGAGAGAAAUUAGAGGGUGUAUAGGGAUUUGGGCUUAUUAGGAAGUUAUAUAUGUAUUUCGUCACUUAUCAUUAUCAUUUUUUUUUUCACAGAAAACCUUCUGAUGGUGCUAAAUUUUCAAACACCGGUCCGAUUCAAAACUUCAUAUUCCAAUUAUAUUCAUAAGACAAAUGGAACACUUUGAACGGCUUGUGUCCGAGCAUUGUAGUUUGAUUUAUUUUGAUGACAGUACCUUUUGACAUUGAGAUUCUUUCAUGAUUUAAACAUUCUUUUAAAAACUAAAUUAUUAAAAAAAAAGUAACUAACAUAUAUUAUUUUAUUAGUGCUUUUUAAAUCAAAUAUACAUAGGAGAACUGUAAUUCUUAGCAAUCAAUUUUCCACUAAAUACACCUGCAACAAACUAUUAAUAGCAAAGUGAUAGAAAAUACCUGAUUUUUCAUACUUUCUAAUUUCUUUUGGUCCUAAAAUAUGGGCAUUUGUGUAAUAAUUAGCCCAUGUGGAUCUCUAUGCCAUGAGUUUGAUAAGUAGCUAUCAAGGAUCACUUAUUAAGCUAAAAAUAUUUGGAGGACAAAAUUGUAAAACUAAAAGGGUGGAGCAAAUAUGGCUAUCUAGGAUUAAAUAGUAAGUCAACUAUAUUUAAAGGAUAAAAUAUUAAAACUUGAAAUGUGAUAUUAAAAAUAUCUCAACUAUUAUGUUAUUAAACCAUAUGUUGUAAUAGUUUAUUUUUUAAGCUUCAAAAUGUUCAGGAUUUUAGAUUGAAACAUUUUCAUUUGAAAUUAUUUGGUGCAGUCACAAGUUAAGAAAGAAAAAGUUGUCCCAUUGGUCAUUUCACAAAAAUGAAAGCCCUGUAUAACAUGGGCUUGAAUGGAAGCCCAAUUGUUUGUGUUUGAUUAAUUGAUUUCAAGCUUUAUCGAACCUUUGUACCUGGAUACUUUACUGCGGCCUCUAAGCGCUAUAAAUUUUUUUGGGGAUAAACGGCGCUUCAAUGAGGUCAUCUCCGAUGCUUAACACCAUUUUGGUGUAAUACCAACAUUAAAAAUAUACAUUUUUCACACUAAAUUACUAUUUCAUCUCCAACCCAUUUACACCAAAAAAAAUAUUUUUCUUUUUAUUCUUUUAAUUCUCAAGAAUUAAUUCAAUUAACACAAUAAAUACUACUAUUAACAUAGAUAAUUAAGUAAUAAGUAAUUUUAUCGAUUAACAAAAAAAUAUAGAAAAUUAUUAAAUUUGCAUUUAAUUAACUAAAUUAGUACAUUAUGAAAAUUAAACAUUACAUUAAUAUAGAAAAAUACAAUAACAAUAAUAAUAAUUUUAUAUCUAAUAUUUUGAUGAUAUUGGAGGAUCUAAUAAUGAUCUUCCAGAUUAUUAAAUAAUUGUUCUAAUUUAUACUAGUAGUAGUAGCUUUUUUAAUUUGUGUUAAUUUAAUUUUGUAAUAUGUAAUAUAGUAAUUAAUGUUACUAGCAUUUUAUUAUUAUUAUUAAUUUUUGUGUUGAAUAUUUUUUAUUUAAAAUAUUAGUAUAAUAUUCAAAAAUUAAAAAAUGAAAUAAAAAUAAUAACAAAAAUAAUAAUAAUAAUAACUUAAAAUAUUAUAUAAAAUAGGACAUAUAUGUAAAUAAGAAAAAGUAAUAAAGAUAUUUAAGAGCUUUUUUUCCUAGCACCAAAUGAAUAGUGUUACACCAUAUUUGGUGCAAUACUAUUCACAACACCAUUUUGUUGUUGGUUUUGGUGUUACAUUGGAGAAGCAUUUUACACCAAAAAUAGUGUAAAAGGUGGUUUGGUGUUAGUUUUGGUGUCACAUUGGAGAUGGCCUGGAAAAGCACUUGAAAACUUUGGAUUUUUGGUUCGUCCAGUUACGGUGUUAUGCUAACGGGGUUAAAGGUUCCGAUCCAAUGAGUUAGGAUCCGAAGGUUACUGAAGUUUACUAUCAAGAGUUUCAAAACAGUGAAAAAGAUGAUAUAGUUGAUGACAAAAACCUGAGUUAUCCAUAGCGACAAGUAACAUACUGUUUAUUACAGAGAAACAAACGACAACAUGAUACUAGUAGUAGUUAUUCUUUUCAUCCGAUAUAUUACAUGGUAAUAUCACUACUCGUUCCACUAGUUUCAUGUACACUGUCGACCAGCAACAUGAUAAUUUCGUGCCAGUUCAUUUUGGUUUGUUGGAAAAAGCAGUGUAUUUCUUAGAACUUGAAAAUAAUAAAAAUAUUUUAAAAUAUAAAUUGCAUAUUUGUUUAUUACCAUUCUUUGGUCUAUUUCUUCUGUAGACUUUUCAGAAUCUGUAGGACGUUAGUUUAUAACUUUGGGAUUUUGUAGCCCUAAUUUUUUUUUUUGGCAUUUUAUUUUGCUGCUUUAUCUAUGUGCAUGUUAACUAAAUUAAGCUAAUCUAGAAUUAAUAGAGAGGGAUAUUUAUCUAUUUUGUUUAACCUUUACCACUCUAGGCAUUGUACUACAUGUGAGCUUGUGAUGCUUGCAUUUUAUUGAUGUUGAUGAUUCGUUGAAUGUUUUAUUUUUUGAUUUUUUAAGUUUUCCAGAGUCAUGUUUGUGUCUACGAAGAAAUUGUAAAGGCUGUGCACGAAGCACUUGUCAUUCUUUAGACUUUAUUGAUUAUAUUUUUGUCAGAUUUGCGUGUAUAUUCACAUAUGUUUUAUUUUUUCAUUUUGUAGGACAUUUUUACAUGCCAUAUUAUCACGACUCUUCUGUGUCUGAAUAAGAAGAAAGCAUAAUGCGACCCUCCAACAGCUUAAUCUAUGGAAUUAUCGUGUUUUGUAAGUUCUGGUCCAAUGGCGUUUUGGCACAUCAUAUGAUAGACCACUAUAUUGCGUUGCUUUACAAAAGAUUAAUAUUUUUAAAAUUAUUAACUCAUGAUAUGAUAGUCCAGGUUUUCGAGGACCACUAUAUUGUAUGGAUUUAAAAAAAAUUAAUAUUUUUUAAUAUUAAUAUUCUAAAUUAUAUUCAGUUAAAAUAUUAAAUAUUAAAUACAUUCUUAACAUUAAUAUUCUUAGAUGAAAUUCUUUUGCUGACUUAAGAAUAAAGUAUUAAAUAAUUUUAUUUUUCUUUUAUUUUGUAACGUGGACCCAAAAAAAAAAGGAAAUGAAUUUAAUAAAACCUUCAUUCCGCCAACAUGCAUGUUAAUUGUUUCCAAAUUCCAACCUCCGUACUCUCUUGAGGAGUUUCCCAUUCAUCAAUUAUUAUUUUUUAUAAUCCAUACCAUCCUGAUAUAAUUAAACACCAUUAAUAAUGUACCAGCCUUUAAAUAGUAAUUAAUUUAUUUAUCUAAUUCACCAAAUGUUUUUUUCCGGUACAUAUCUCCAUUGGUAUCAAGAAGAAGCAGAACCCAAAGAAAUGUUUCUUGCAUCUUCAUAUUUGUGCGAAUUCAUCCUUUCAUUGAGAAUAACCAUUUCCAGGCAGCAGUUGGCAAUCAAUUCAUGCGCAUGUCGAUGCUACUCAUAGAUAUUAAAGACAAUGAUGAACCAAAGGUAAUAAAUCAUAAAUGCAUAAUUACCAAACCUCCAUCCUUCUCUCAUUAUGACUUGAUUUUAAAUGAAUUAUUGCUUGGUAACAUUAUUUCCAACCAUUGCAAGAUUUUUUUUUGGAGAAAUUUCAAUUGAAAGUAAAACCUUUAGACAUUUACCUAAUGAAGUUAGUUAAUCGGGAGGGUGGAAAAAAAAAAGUUGACGCAAGUCAAUACACAAUAAUUAAUUAAAUCCGGAGUCACUAAAACAGAGCCACGACUUUUUCAAAAAUAUCUGCAUUCAUCACUUUCUCCAGCAACUAGUCAGCUACACACGAAUCAAUUUCUCUCCUCGUUUGUCAUCCAAAAUUAUUCACCAAUACCAUGGCUGAUGCAAUCGUUUCCCCGCUCUUGGAGCAGCUGAUUUCCUUCGCUGCUGAAGAGAUAAAACAACAGGUGAUCGAAGUUACACCCCUCAUAUUACAAAUACUUCCAAUGAUUUUAAUUGGUUUUGUUUUUAUCAAAAACAUUAUAUAUUUUUGCUUUUUUUUAUUUAUCUGAUAAUUUUAUAUUUUGAAAUUUGAAUUGAAUUUAAUUAAAAGGUGAUGUAGUAACCACUUAUUUUUAUUUUAUUUCAUUUAUAUUCUCAAUAACUACUCAUAUUUUGGUAACUUACUAUAACUUCCAUAUCUAAGAAAUGAUCCAAACCCACAAUUUUAACUAUGUAUAAAUAUUCAACGUUGAGCUAAGGUUUUGCAGAACAUUCAAGUUUAUCAAAUAGUCAUUAAUUUAAUGUUUUAGUAAAACCUCAACUCAUCACUGAAUCCCAUAGCUAUUACUUAGACACUAUGAAAAAUUUCAUAGUUUUCUUACAUUCUUUCAGUUUGGUAAGUGAUUUCAUAUAAUUUCUUUUCAAGUUAAAUUUUAAUUUGGUUUCUGAUAUAGUCUCUUUGCCGAAUUGUAUCUUUUAUGAUUCUUGGAUUUUGGGCUCCAACUUUUUAGGAUUUGAUAGUCACAUUUUAUGCCAUGCUCAGAUUGAUUUUCAUGAUUUUUAGUACCCGUUAAGUGACGUACAAUUUGACAAAAGUUUGAAAGGAAAUAUGUUUCAGAAUUCUGUUUUAAUUGACCUUUUAGUGGAAUUAGGAUGCUUAUAACUUAAUGUGGAUGGUUCGUAAAAUCAUGAAAUUUGGAUAGGAUUCACUAGCAAUAUGUACAAGACUCCCCAUAAAGUUUCAUAAUUUUUCAUUCGGUCUGGGGUGGUACAGGUGAAACUUGUGGUUGGUGUUGAAAAAGAAGUGAAAAGCCUUACCAGCCAUCUUCAAGCCAUUCAAGUUGUGCUCGAUGAUGCAGAGGAAAAGCAAGUGAAGGAAAAAGCUGUUAGUCUUUGGCUGGGUAGGCUCAAGUAUGCAUCCUACGACAUUGAAGAUGUGUUGGAUGAGUGGAUAACAACAAGACGCAAAUUGCAAAUUGAGGGUGGCGUUGAUGAAAAUGCUCUUGUUGUUCCUCAUAAGAAAAAGAAGGUAUGUCUCUGCUUUCCCGGCUCUUGUUUUGGAUUCAAACAAGAAGAAUUUGGUUUCAAACAGGUCUUUCUCCGUCAUGACAUUGCCGACAAGAUCAAAGAAAUCAAUGAAGAGCUACAUGAUAUUGCCGCUCAAAAAGACAUGUUUGAUCUUGUUAAGAGUGGCAAUAAAAGUAGUGAAAGACCAAGGCGUGUACAGAGUACCUCCUUGAUUGAUGAGGAAGAGAUUUGUGGCAGAGUUGGUGAGAGGAAUGAACUCUUAAGCAAGCUGUUGUGUGAGAGUAGCGAGCAACAAAAAGGCCUUCAUAUCAUCUCAAUCGUUGGUAUGGGAGGCAUAGGGAAAACAACUCUUGCACAACUAGCUUGUAAUCAUGACGAGGUGAAGAGAAAGUUCGACAAAAUUCUGUGGGUGUGUGUAUCAGAAACUUUUGAGGAGUUUAGGGUUGCCAAAGCGAUCGUUGAAGUUUUGGAUGGUCGUGAAUCUCAUUUAGCUGAAUUCCAUUCUCUUCUUCAACAUAUUUAUGAAUCCAUUGCAGGGAAGAGCUUUCUUCUUGUCUUAGAUGACGUGUGGGAUGGAAAUUACUUGAAAUGGGAACCAUUCUACCAUUGUCUAAAGAAUGGUCUCCAUGGAAGUAAAAUUUUAGUUACCACACGUAAAGGGUCAGUCGCAUCCAUGAUGGGAUCCAUAGAUAUUAUCUCCGUUAAGGAGUUAGCUGAAGAGGAAUGUUGGUUGUUGUUUAACAAGAUAGCAUUUUUUGAUCGGUCCAUCGAGGAACGUGAAAAAUUAGAACAAAUUGGGCAAAGAAUUGCAGGCAAGUGCAAAGGUUUACCUCUUGCAGCAAAGACAAUAGGGAGUCUCAUGCGUUCUAAACAAACUGAAGAAGAGUGGAAAAGAAUUUUAAAUAGUGAUUUAUGGAAAGUAGAAGAGAUUGAGAAAGAUGUUUUGUCCUCUUUAUUGUUGAGUUAUAAUGAUUUGCCAUCUAGAGUAAAAAGAUGUUUUUCAUAUUGUGCUGUCUUUCCAAAAGACUACAAUAUAGAAAAAGACAAACUAAUCACGUUAUGGAUGGCUCAAGGUUAUCUUAGUGCAGAAGAAGAUGAAGAGAUGGAGACAGUAGGUGAAGAGUAUUUUGGCAUCUUAGCUUCUCGCUCAUUUUUUCAAGAGUUUAAGAAAAGUUAUGAUAAUCGGAUUAUAGAGUGUAAGAUGCAUGAUAUGGUACAUGAUUUUGCCCGAUUUGUAAGUCAAAAUGAAUGUUUUUCGAUGGCAAUUAAUGGUAGUGAAGAACCAAACGCCACAAACUCUCUUGAUGAGAAGGUCCGUCAUUUAAUGUUAAUCUUUAGUAUAGAGGCUUCAUUACCUGUUUCCACUUGUAGAGUUAAAAGAAUUCGUAGCCUCUUAAUUAACGAUAGUAGAUCUGAUCAUUCAUUAUUAAAUGGUGAGAUCCUAGAAGAAUUAUUUAGGGAAUUGACAAGUUUAAGGGCAUU
RNAcentral lists this long non-coding RNA (76671 nucleotides) under Citrus x clementina. RNAcentral's name for it is "Citrus clementina (C. clementina) long non-coding RNA (CCLE_LNC002331)". Lineage: Eukaryota; Viridiplantae; Streptophyta; Magnoliopsida; Sapindales; Rutaceae. The record is from RNAcentral.